UCUCGGGUAAUUUUUCUAUCUUCUUUUGACCUUUCAAAUUAAGGUAUUUCAAAUGUAACAAUUUUUCUAUAUUUGUUGGAAUUUCCUUGAUGUCAUUCACACUUGACUGCCUAUCACCCGCCUUUAAUUUUAAUGCCCUUAAACAAGUUAAUUUAUCAAAUAAUUGAGGCAGGACUUCACUAGACCAUGAAUAUUCAUCACUUUUAACUAAGAGGCUACGCAAUCCUCGCAAUCCUUUAACAUUACCCCAAAUGGAGAUCGGAACCGAAGCCCCCCUACGUAGAGUUAACAGUAAAUGAAGGAUUUUUUUCUCCCCAAAAGAGCUAAUAGCUAACUCUUCACCACUAUGAAUUUCUACUGUUAAACAUUUAUUACUACAUAAAUAUUGGGCAAAGUCGUGCACGAUAUCGUGCAUUUUGCAAUUAGAGAUUUCACCAUCAUCACCUUUGUCAAAAUCCUGAAAGAAUGAACGGUUAGCUAAGAUGUUGAAAUACUCAUCACCAAUAUCCUCCAUCUCGUUGCCUCCUUUCUCACUAAGAUAACCUUGUGCCAUCCAUAGUUCAAUUAACUUAUGCUUCCGUAUUUCAUAGUCUUUCGGAAAGACGGCACAAUAUGAGAAACAACACUUUACCUUGGAGGGUAAUUCUUUGUAACUCAACAAUAGAGGGGCUAAAAGGCCUUUCUCAAUUGCUUCUAGUUCCCAUAUCUCACUCUCUAAGAUAUUUUGCCAUUCUUUUUCAGUGUUUUUAGACCGCAAGAGACUAGCAAUUGUCUUUGCAGCUAAAGGUAAGCCCUUGCACUUUUUUACAAUUUCUCUACCAAUUUUUUCUAAAUUUUCACAUUUUCCUAUGGUCUUACCAGAAAUUGCCAACGACUGAAACACCGACCAGCAUUCCAUUUCAGACAAUACAUUGACAGAGAUAACAUGAGUUGAUCCCAUAAUACGGGCAACUGUUUCUUUACGUGUGGUAAUUAAAAUUUUACUUCCAUGGAGACCAUUCUUUAAACAUUUGUAGAAUGGUUCCCAGUUAUAGUAAUCUUCAUUCCACACGUCGUCUAAGACAAGAAGAAAUUUCUUCCCGGCAACACAUUCUUGAAUAUGUUGCAUGAGAGAUUGAAACUCUACAAGGUCUUUGGCAGAACCUGGCUUUAGAGACUCAAUGAUUGCUCUGGCGAUCCUGAACUCAUCAAAUGGCUCUGACACACAGACCCAUGUUCUUUUGUCAAAAUUUCUUUCAACAUCACCGUUGUUGUAGGCAAAUUGAGCAAGAGUUGUUUUGCCUAUGCCCCCCAUCCCAACAAGUGAGAUGAUAGAGGGGCCUUUCUGUUCUUUACUACUCUCACAUAACAACCUAUUAACGAGUUCGUUCUUCUCUUUUUCUCUACCAAAUAUCUCGGACUCAUCAAUUGAGGAGAUGCUUGGCACUCGUUGAUCCGCUCUCUCAUUAGUAACAUUCACAACAAAACCAAAUAUGUCUUUCUGUUUGGCAAUAUCAUCAAGAGUUUCGUUGAUUUCUUUUAUCUUCAGAGCAAUGUCACGACGUAAGACAAGUGGUUUGCAGGCAAAGCAAGAUGCAGUAGGAAAGAAGGAACAUACCUUCUUGUUAGGAACGAGAGCAUCAUUCUCGUGAUCAUCCACUCCGUCGAUUUGCAGUUUGAGCCUUGCAGUGUUCCACUCACCCAACACGUCUUCCAUGUCGUAACAUGCGUCUCUGAGUUGAUCGAGCCAGAGUCUGACAGUUUCCUCCUUCACUUGCCUUUUCUCAGCAUCAUGGAGCACAGCUCGAAUGGCUCGGAGAUUGCUGGUCAGCUUCUUCGCUUCCUUUCCGACACCCGUUACUAGCCUCACUUGUUCCUUCGCCUCUUCAACAGCCAUUGAAGUCAGCUGCUCCAAGAUAGGGGAAAGGAUCGCAUCAACCAUGGUGAAAAAGAAAAAAGAGAGAGAGAAGAAAUUGAUGGUGAAUUGUUGCAAAAGUAAGUAGCUAAUGCUGAAAGAAAUGAAGGAGCUGAUAAAGUGGUGAAAAUGUUGCCGUAUUCUUUCAAUUCUUAUAGUACUGCAAGCAAAAUUCUAAUUUAGAAAUAUUUCAUUUCAGCCCCUUGUGAAAGAAGCUACUGUUAUUAUUAUUACUUUUUUUUUUUUUAAUACCAGCAAAGAGUGAAAAUGACGUACAGUUAUGGACAGGAAAUAAUAUAUUGUUAGGUCCUACAUCGGCGAUUCACGCGAUAUAUGAAACUGACAAAGUUUUCCCUGAUCACUUUUUAAAUAAUUGAACAAGUUGUUGGAUAAUAUUUGUGAUCGUGUCGUCAUAUUGAGAUUUGGAAAUAUUUGCUUUAUAUGUGUAUUAUUAGCUUAGAAAUACCUUGACCAUCUCUUUCUUAUUUCCUUCUUCUUCUUUUUUUUUUUAAAUUUGACUCGUUUGCAUAAUUAGUUGAAAGGAAAGAAUGAACAUACUAAUAAACUAGGAAAACGCUGCCACAUAAUAUUUUAAGAUUCAUAUCAAACCACUUUAUUUUAGUUUUGUCAUUUUAGCAGAUGUCUGAUAGUGGGAGUUUAGAGUUUAAUCUCUAACUUUGCUUGUGAAGUGUGAAAAAUCAAAUAAUCUGUUCAACUUGUUUUUCAACAAAAAUAGAUAACAAUUCAUCAUCACUUAUUUCUCAUUAUGUAUAAAAUGAUCAAUCUAGAGCUGGAUAUUCGCAUAUUUUUCUAUUUCUAAUCAUUUCAAAAUAUAAUAUGAACUUUAAAAAAAAAUCAAAUUGUAAUAAAGUGACAUAAAUAUUAAAAAAUGAAAAUAAAAAGUCAAAAAUGUAAUGCGGAAAAAAGACAAAACCUUUUGUUUGCUCUAUUCAUGGCAUCUAAAUAUGAGAAAUGAUGGGUUGAUUGUCAUUGUGAACAACCAUAUAAUUGCAACACGUGAAUACCAUCAAAGUUAUAAUAAUUCAUGGACCCAUGCAUCUGUAUUUCUAAUUAUUCCGUGUAGAAGGCUAAAGUUUAAACAAUAAUAUUGUUUUAAAUAUCUCAAUAACAACAUGUCCAACAAAUCAGUUUGACAUGACAUAAUUUUAGUCAUAACGACUUUGUUAUAACUGAAACAUUAUUGGGAAAUUAAUGAAGAGUACUAAAUGAAACAACGAUGAGAAAGCUUAAUUAAGCCAAACAAUUUUGAUUAUUAACUCUCUAGUCUCUCUUGCACCAUUCCAGUAAUCCUCUGAUCGAUCACACAAUCUAAUGCAUAAUCUAUUCAUUUAAUUAAUCAAUUUGAAUAUAUAUAUAUAAGUGGUGGGAUCUAGAUCUACUGCAUGAAUUUUAAAGGAACUAUAAAUUAUUUAACAAAAUCUUAUUUUAAAACGAUUGUGCGGGACACAGCACAUGGCAACCCGGGCUUUAUCUCUUUUCACUAUUCAUAUACGUAGUGGCAGACAUCGGUGGCCAAUUAAGGGAUGAACACAACCAACCACUCCACCAAGUAAAUCUUGACGCGUGUGCUUUUAUGUCCAAUUAUUCUACUGUCUUUUUCUAAUGACUUUUAUCGCAGAAGUAAUUAAUUCUGAAAGAAAUGAAGGAGCUAAUAAUGUCGUGAAAGUGCUGCCACAUUCUUCCAAUUCUUAUGCUGCAAGCAAAGCUCCAAUUUACAAAUAUUUCAUUUCAAAAUAAGUUAUUGUUAUUAUUAUCUUUCUAAAUACUUACUGGUCAAAUCCAAUCAUAGUUAUUAAUUUAUUAAGCCCACGACCUGAUAAAUAAUUUAUUAAAAGAACACCAUGUGUAAAAAUUUAAUGAUUGUAUAAAUAAUUCGGUAACAGAAUUCUUUUCACCCGUUAUUAAUUGCUUGCAGAUGACUUACUGAAAUUACAAAUACGUUAAACAUUGUUUGACUGUGAAGUGAUGAAAAAUCAAAUAAUCUUUACUAUUAGUUUUGCAAUAAUAAUAAACAACAAAUCAUAGUUACUUAUUUCUUAUUUAUUAUGCAUAAAUUGAUCUAUCCAGAGAUGGAUAUUUACAUAUUCUUCUAUUUCUAAUCAUUUUGAAAUUUAAUAGAAUUUUUUUUAAAAAAAAUCAAUUUGUAAUAACGUGUCAUAGAUAUUAAAAAAUGAAAAGAGAAAGUCAAAAUUGUAAUGCUCAAAAAAGACAACUUUUUUUUUUCUUUUUCACGGCAUAUAAAUAUGUUGUUACAGGUAAUGGAAAUUUAGGCAGCGCUUAUGUUACAUUUGCUGCAAGUAACGGCCCGACAAAAUGGAUAGUUGGAUUUGUCAAUUUUUAGAUCCAACGGCUGUAAAGAAAUUUAACACAAAAUCAGUUACAGGUAUAGGUGGUAAAAUGAUUAUUAUAAUAAAGGAUGGGCAACCUGCCAAUACGGUUUUGGAAUUAUGUACUUAAGGGGUUAUUCGAUAAUGAAAUUAUAGAGGGAAAAGAAGAAUUAUGAGCGGAUGCUCUGGGUACGCAAAAAAUUCAAGAGGCAAAAAGUACAGUAAUUAAGUUUUCAAAGAGGGGAAAAUAAGAGUAGCACCAAACGAUGUUAUCAAUUUCCUUGUUCAAUUUUGCAGAUUCACAAAUUGAUUGCGAGAUUACUACUUAAAUAUUUAACUUGUCUUGUUUCACUGGAUGGUGAGGCUUCUGCCACUGAUGAGGCAAAGAAGAGAAACCAUGUCUUGAGAAAGCUUGAGAAGCGUAAAAAAGAUCGCACGCUUGACCCACAUAUUGAAGAGCAGUUUGCUAGUGGUCGUUUGUUAGCUUGCCUCUCAUCUCCGCCUAGCCACUGUGGACGUGCUGAUGGGUAUGUGACCCCUUUUAUUGCUUUUUAGUUUUCAAGAUUUGCUGUAAGGCCCUAAAAAUGGAAGUAUUCAACAUACACCAUCAUACCUGGACUUUCAUGUUGUUGAGGCUGGAUAUAUAUAUCCGUUCCUUUCCCUUGCCUCGUAAUGGGUAUUGGACAAUUGGUAGAAGUCCUUUUUUUUUUUAUGGCAUUAAACACCUUAAGAUUUGCUUUGGAGACCAUCAAAGUUGUUCCUUGUUUUUGUUUAUUUCCAUGGUAGUUAUUGGAUAGAUACAGGAGAACAAGACAGUAUAAUGGUAAUAUUUGCUUUCUUUUUUCUUGCAUUGAUGGGCUUUUUCAUUUCCGACAGAUACAUCUUGGAGAAAGAGCUGGAAUUCUACAUAAAGAAGAUACAGGGGUGCUGGUGCUGCUUAAAUUUUUGUUUAUUGAAACUCCAUACUGGAAUUUCUAGUCUUGCCUUGUGUUCUUAUUUUUAGUCUUAAUUAAGUUAAGAGAGUUGAGAUGAUAUCAGCAGUUGAACCUGGAUUUCUCACUUGUGUUAUUGUUACAUUUUGUUUUUGAAUGUUACCAGUGCCUGUCUUAGAAUUUCUUCCGUUCCUCUACGUUUUUCAUGAUUCUGUCUGCGUGAUCAAUGAAUUUGGUAGUUAAUGCCUUAAUGGUUAUUGCUUAAGGUUGAUAUAUUAAUUCCAUACCGAAAAUGAACCUGGUAUAUCUACGCAUGUGCAAUACAAUAACACAACCAUUUUAGGCACUAGUUAUGGGCAAGGCCAUCCCUAAAUAUACAAAUAACUGGGUUAAUGUAUUUUGUUUGGAAUUAGUUUCAUGUAAAAAUUAUUUUCUAACAUCUUUUCUAUAACAUUAUUUUUGUUGGCCUGAAGUUUGUGUGAGAGGAUUCUCUCUACAUGGAAUCUAGUUUCUCGACCUUUUCCCAUUUGUGCACCAUAUGUUGUGGUAAUAGAUGAGCAAAAAUCACGAUCCGUGAAUUUGCUAUCACAAGAACAAUCAAAGUAUGUAUCGAGGAACCAAUAAAGUGUUGGCUCCACUGGCAAUGGAGUCCUCCUUAAGUGGCUUGACUGAGUUUGCUCCUCAGUUUGAGUCGCAAGAAAAUCGCCUUUGUUAGGAGAACCUGUGCCUCCCGGUUCGAGCGGAGACUUCUAAUUUGAGCUGUGGUACGGACUUAAAGGUGCCUUCCACAGUUGGGGCCCUCCCCAGAAUACCUCGUGGUUAAGACAAAAAAAAAAGUAUGUAUUGAGGAAGCUCAUGGGGAUGAACGAAAAGCAAGCCGUUGCAGCUUAUUGAAAUAACAAGCAACAGUAAUUGGUUACUGAAACAAGAACAUGUAUUUCAUAAUUAAUACACCAUUUCUCUCUUAGGGAAAGCACGAUACCAUUUCUCUCUUAAGGAAGCGCAAUUGCAAUUGCGAUCAUAUUUCGGUAACAAAAACCAAACCAUGCAUGAUAAGCAUAUGAUAAAAAGUAGAGAAACAGGGGCAGCUGCUAUGUCUAAGAGUCAUUUCAUCAUACAUAUGGAAGGCGAUUUAACUGCAACCUGAGGUAUCCGGUACAGUCAAGAAAUCAAACAUGGGUAAUCAAGUUUUAUAUCACAUAUAUACACUACCCUCACAUAAAUUACAUUUCUUUACUCUAAUAAUAAUAAUAAAAAAAAAAUCGAAUAACGAAACAAAUUAUAAAAUUUUCGAAACACUCCCUCACAUCUGAAACCGUAGCUCCCCGUCAUUUCUCUAUGUAGUAAUAGUAGGCAGAACUCUGAAAUAAUUUGUUUUUUCCCCCAUUUUUUCAGCUUUUAUUCAAUAAUUUCCGUUAUAAAAUUGUUUGAAUAUUUCACAGAUUAAGUUUCAGAGGGGAGCUAUUGCUUCCUUCAAUAAACGGAUAAUGAGAUUAUGGAUUCUAAAGUGUUGAAAGCCAUAUAAUUUUUUUUUUAAUUUCAAAUUUUCUUUUUCUUUUCGAAAUUUUCAGUGAUAUGCUUAUCUAAUCUUCAACCGGCUAUUAUCAGGAAUGGAUAGGAUUGACUCUACCGUUGACACAUUUUGCAACUGGUUUCAACAUGUUUUUCAUACUGCCCCUUACUGACACGUGCUUCUCUUAUGUGAGUCAAUUGAUCACCUCACUUAUGUUACUUACACCAAAUGUAACAUAAGCUUACCCUGGAAUUUAUACCCCACAAAGGGAAUUUUCUUCCACAAAUGAUAUGAGAAUGUCGGGUGAAACAUGUGAAUGGGAAACUGCCUUACGAUUGCAGCAUGUGAACACUUGAAUUUCUUUUUGACAGAGCACAAUGAUAACUUACAGGUACUGCAAUAUUGCAUGAAGAUUCCUGGAAGUAGCCUGCAGCUCAAAUUAAUAAUUUUCUUUUGAACAAAACCAACCAACAAUAAUUUUCAAACCUGGAAGAUACUCAUUAAAAGAUGGAUCUUCAUCAUUUUUUUCCUCCCCACAACCCACCCACUAAAAACUUUAUUCAUUUAGUGUAACUUUUUAGUUUUGUUAGAAGAUACUUAGAACUGCCGAUAUCUUCCAAUUAUUGUUUUAAAAAUCUCAGUUGGCAUGCCCAAUUAACAAAUCAAUAGUCUUUGUUCGACAUAUUUAAAACAAAAAACAAAAAAAUCACACAUUGGUUUGAUGAGAGAUGAAAAGAAAAAGGAACACACUUACGAUCAUCAUUGCAGACGAUAUACACCAAGUAAAUCUUGAGACGUGCUUUUUCUAAUUAGCCAACUUUUUUUUUUAGGGAUAAAAAGAGACCGUCUCUUUUUCUUUUUCUUUUUUUCAUUAUUCAUAGUGGGAGACAAUGGUGGGGGCCUAGGGAUGAAAGUAAAAUUAAAAAUUAAACGUGAAUUAUGUGGUAAAAGUAUUUAAAUUAGAUAGUUGUAAGUUAAAAGUUAUAAUAUUAAAGUGUUUGGUUAACAUUAGUUGUUGUAACUUAAAAUAUAUAUUUAUAUAAUUUUUCAGCUGUAUAAUAAAAAAUUUAUUAUAUUUUUAAUAAUUUUAUUAAAAUUAUUAUUUAAAAUUUAUAUUCAUUAUAUUAUGAAGUUUUAUUUUAUAAUUACAUAUUAUGGGAUGUAAAGGAGUUUGGGAGCUGUAGCCUUUAGUUGGCUUAGGGAGAUGUUAAAGUUUUGAGAAAUGCUUAGAAAUUUAUUUUAUAAUUUGUUUUAAAGUUUAUUUUAUAAUUUAUUUAUAACGUAUAUAAUACGCUCUCAAUUUUAUUACUAUAAAGUUGAAUCUAUUUUAUUUACUUUAUAAUUUUUUUAUUCGGGUUCACUGACCGUGUACUCCAGCUAGAUUCUAAAAACAAAAAAUGAAAAUAUAGUCUAGAGAAAUAACAUCGAACAGACUCUUAACUUAUCAUCUUCACAUCAUCAUUUUGAAUUUCUUUAAUUAAUUCUUUUCAUUUUACUCUUCAAUAAUAAAUGUCACUUCAACUCGUGUGUGUACAUAAUAUAGGAUAGAAAAAUAAUGUCGAACAAACUCUAACAUAUCAUCUUCGAAUCAUCUUUUUGAAUUUCUUUAAUUAAUUCUUUUCAUUUUACUCUUCAUUAAUAAAUGUCACUUCAACUCGUGUGUGUAUAUAUUCAUACUAUAGAAAUUAAAAGUUUGAGUUUACUAUUGUAGAUGAAGUUAUGUUUUAAUUAUUAUUACUAUUACUAUUAAUUAAUUUAUAUUAUUAUUAUUUUUUGUUAAGUUAUUAUCAUUAACUAUUACCUCUGAUUUAUUAUUGUAUUAUUAACCACAACAAAUAAAUAAUAAUAAUAAUUUAUUUGAGGACAAAAGUAAAAUUAUGAAAUUUAUAAGGUGGUAAAAUAGAGAGUUCAAGGAAUAGAAACUUAAUUUCCUAUCCCCUCAUAGAAAUCAAGUUUAUGUUCUUUAAUUCCCAAAAACACGAGCCCUAUAUGUUUCAUUCCCAUUUCUAUCUAUAUUUAAGUAAGUAAACAUCAUCAAUCAUUUUCGUUUUGAAUUAUGAUUUUUCAAUCCAAAAAGUAGAUGCCAGUAAAAGAGAGAGUUAAACUUGACUCACCCGCUUUUCUAAUUGUUCUGAUUUGUUGUAUAAUUUAUUCUAAAGUUAUUUUAUAAUUUAUCUAAAACGUAUAUAACACGUUCUCAAUUUUAUUACUAUAAACUUACGCUGUAUUGUCUAGUCUUAGUAAGUAACGACUCAAUUGGAUGUGGGAGGAUCCCUUCCGCUUUGACCAAAAAAACUGUUUCGAGGACAGUAUUCUAACUCAACUCAAGUGCGGAACAAAGAAAGAAACGCUAAGAACGUUAAUGAAAGUUAACAUACAGAGCAAACUAGUCAAGAGCACACACAAGAGGAGAAAUAAUUAACACUAUUAUUUUACAUGGUUGAGUUUCUCUAAGCCCACGUCCACGAAGACAGACACUUGGCUACAUGCAUGCAUGCUUUAUUAAUUGACCAAGGAAUUUACAAGGAAACUCUCUUUUCCAGAAGUUACAAGAGCCCUGACACUAUUCCUCUCGAGGUCUAGUUCAAGUCGCCCAAGCCUCUCAAGCUCCCUUAAGAACUCUGCUUUCUUGCUGUUCAAGAAAGCGCCUGAUUGGAAUCACAUGCUCCACGUGACAUCUGGCAUAACAAAAUCUGCUGCCGUACCCGGCCAAUUUAUGAUGCCACUUAUGAUACCCUUUCACGUCAGCUUCCCUUGCCCUGCGUCAUCAUAGGACCUUACAUCUUGGAACCUACAUGAAACCUGAAUCUCUAACAGCCCAUCAUAAAAGAUAUUAGUUUUAAAAUAUGGAAAUUACCAAAAAUACCUGCGCAUUUUGAAAUUUGUCAAAAAAUGAAGAGUAGAAAGCAAUAGGAAAACGUAAUUAACCAACCAAUUUGAUUCCUCUGAUCGCUUUCAUCUCAGGACUCUUUGUCUUCCCGUGCGUCUUCGAUUCCACAGGACAAUCUUGGAUUGAAUUUAUACAUCAGAAGAAAAUAUCAGUAUGCCCAAAAUAAAAAAAGGUGUCAUAUAGAAGUAUUCUGUCGCAGACUUAACAUAUCUAUCAAGUAAGUAAUUAAUAAUUCCUAGUUUUAAAAGUAGAGCAAUUGGAUAUCAAGUCCGUAAAUUCAAGAUAUAAUAACUCUUGACAAUUAUAUAUUCAUAUGCAUGUUAGUAGCAUGAUGCUACCAAUAUUCGCACCUUUAGCAUUCAAACACUUGAUCAUUGAAAGAAUUUAAGAAAAAUGUUGUUUGGUUACUGAGAAAAUAUCUCAACAAAAUUUUCAGAGAACUUUCCGGAAUUCUUGCCUUUAUUUCACUUAAUGAAAAAUGUUACAAUUACAUUCAAUUUAUAUUCGAUGCUUUAGCAUUACUAUAACUAACUCAGAACAUACUACACAUGCUUAACUACAGCUCAAUAGAUACAGAGUAAGUCAUAACAAACUUUUAACUACUUAUGCUGAGGUGGCAACUGAGCUGUUAUUCCGCUUAAUCAUCUGACGUCACCAACUUGUUGGUUUUCCUCAGCUCGAGCGUCUUCUUCCUUUCUGUACAAUGAGCUUCUUUAACAACCACUGAAGCAGCCUUUCUCACCAACCUAGCUCCGACAUUAAUCUAUAGAGUUAUCAAGACCGACAUUCGAUGACGUAAUCACAUAAAGUUGCGCUUAUGCCUACAAAAUGGCUGAAUAACUAACCAAUUCGAUUCCUUAUUGCACCAUUCCUGAAUCCUGUCCUCUGAUACUGUAGGCCUCUUCCCGUCUUCCAUAUCGCAAGACACUUCACCUAGCCCAAAACAUACCGUUCUUGGCUUGAAAAUGGAAAGUCUCGUGCAGUGCAGAAAUCAGAGGAAUUAACCCACUUAUGACCAUCGUGUGUGUAUAUAGUAGACGAUGUAAUUAGAUAUCUAAUGAGUGUUUAAGAUAUUACAGAUUAAAAUGUUGCAUACUCUGGACAUUAACAUAACAUAAAAUUUGAUCCACAAUUUACUCAAUUUCUGAGUUAGCUUACCAAAAGUAUUGUAGCAGAAAUAACCAAAUCAACCCAGGUCCUUAUAUGGAGCCCCUGCGCGUCAAUUAAAGUAAAAGCUCGAUCCUCUGUUAUCCGAAAUGGUCAAACAAACAUUAAACCAAAAUGUUGAAGUCUCUUUCUUUUGCAAUUCUAGCUCUAACUGAUGAGAUUGAUCGAAAAGAAUAACCAACAUUAAGAUUAAUUUUUAUUUCCAUUUCUAGGAAAUGGAGAAUUAAAUGGAAUUCUCUCAGUAAAGCUCACCAAUAUCUGUCUCCGUCAUCACAUAGAUAUAUCAGACUAGCUAUCUAAUCCUUUUAUUUUAUUUUUUUCCUUUUUCAUUCAACAGCUUCAGCAUAUAACAAGAAAGCUUGGGCUCCUACAAUGUUUAGGCCUCAUCACGAUUAAGUACUCGUACGGUGGCGCAAGUAGCAGGCCUGGCGCCACUCUGGAUCUGCUAGAGAAAAAAAUUUUACACAUGCGCCCUGAAAAUCUGUUACAUAAAUUAUGUCCUAAUAAUCAGCAAUAAUUCAAAGAUGCGGAUAAAAAAAACACUAUAAUGUACAAACAUACACCUUGUUUAUAUUUUUUGUAUCACAUGAGACAUAAACUCCUCAAGAGUCAAGUCCGACAUUUAAUUCAACCCAUAAACUUGUGCUUGUAGCCCGCAUAAAUGGUUAAACAAAUAUUAUAUUUUCGACUUGAAGAUUGGAUUACAAAUAUAUAAUAGGAAAGUAAAAUGGAGGAGGAGAAAGAAAUUACCUGUAGUAGUUGAGAAAUUACUGCCAAAAAUAAACUUACCCGUAGGAAUUUUAUUUGGUUAGUAAUUGAGAAAGAAAUUACCUUAGGUGAUGACUGAAAGGAAUUUAGAUCUAUCAAAAAUAGAUGUAAGCAAUUAAAAACUAAAAAUUAAUUACUUAAUUAAUUUUUUCAGAAGUGCUGUUCAUUGUUACUGUUUACGGUUCUGUUCACCACAACUGUUUACAGUUACUUUACAAUUAUUGUUUAUCCACAUAAAAAAUAUUAAUUUUCCAAAAACACAAUAAAAUGCCGAAAAUAAAUUAUACAGAAAUUUUUACGUGGUUCGUAUUAAUCAAUCCUACAUCCACGUGGGCACGCCAAGAUGAAAAACAAUCACUAAGUUGAGAUGUUACAACUUAUGGAUUUACCAAACUUAAGACUCUCACUUACAGUUUAUCACCAUACAGUUUACUCAACCUUAGACUGAAUCUGCUUCUCUUAAAUAAUUGCUACCCCUCUUGAUCCACGAUCCUCAAGGCACUUUGCAAAGUGAUCAAUAGCAAUUCUUCAAUUCUUCAACGUCUAGUGAUCCAAGAUUGACAUAGAGUCUCAACAGAGAUAAAAAGAAGAUAAUAAAACAAAUCAACACAACAUGGUGCGCCAAAUUCGGAUUCUCUGGGGAGGAGGCCGAAUUUUGUUUCUCUACUUUAUACUUUGUGUUGUGCCUGUCUUCAAUUGUGAAAUACCUCUAUUUAUAUAGGCAAUAGGGUUUCACCAAAAUAGCAAGUUUGAAAAAACUUAGAUACUUUCCAAAUAAGAGUUUGUUUCCUCUUAUAAUUCCUAUGAAUCUGAAUAGGAAUAAAUAUGAUCUUCUUGCAUUACUUGUCUCCGAAGAAAUAUCUAGAGCAUUUAAUGACUUCUUGUUUGAACCAACUUCUUGCUCUAAAUAGAUCUCAUGCACUAAUAAUAGAAUCCCACCAUUAAUUGACUUGCUAAAAUAGACAUUUAAUUAAAUUAGGAAACAAAUAUUCCUAAUAAAUUGGAAUCUCACUAAAUUAGGAAAUUAAUAAAUUAAUCCCUAUUACAAGAUAUGCAAUAAAUAAACUUCCAAUUUAACUAGAACUUAACAAUGGUGACGGUACUCGUUUUAAAAAUCCUCAAGGUUCGAAUUUGACAUAUUGGUGAUUGAUUAGGAUGCUGGGAAUGUGGCAUAUCUUGGGGCAGUCCUCUCCUGUUUCCUUUAUGUGAUGCUCUUCUAAAACAGAACACGAACUAAUACCUGAAUCCUGCAGUGUUGUUUGUUGUGCGCAGAAUGCGAAAUCAAACGCACCAAAUAAUCAUAGAAAAAUAAAGGACACAAAAUUUAACUCAGAUACUAUCUAUGAAUAAUAUAACUCAGUACCUCACUUCAUGCAAGCUUUGAUAUAUUAUUCCUUCUAUCUAUUUAUCCACUGCUAAUUGUUUUAUAAAAAAUUUGGUGCACUGAAGUGAACCCAAUAACUCCUAGCUAGAAGCAACAAUGUCCAAUUAAGCCGCUGAUACAAUCAAUCAAACAAUAAGGAAAGGAUCAACAACACAAAAAGCACACGCAAGGCACAAAGAUUUACAUGAUAUAUCCACAGGUGGCGAUGCUGGUAUCCACUAUACGUGUGAUGAAAACAAGUGUAUAUAUAUAAAGAACACCACCUGUCUCCUCACAAUAAGCCCCUAGAAUACAAGCGCAAAUAAAAAUAAGCCCAUUCCUGCUCUGCUCUGCCCUCAUGUACGUAACUCCUCUGCUAAGAAAUAUUGCCUUAAAAUAUCCGUAGCAUAUGCAUGGAUGACCAGCAAAUCAGUUAAGACAUAUAAAAUUACCAUCCACACAGGAAAUCAGCAAAUCAGUGGUUUCAGGAAUUUGUAAUUGAACAUCAGAAUAUGAAGGGUACAGAGCAAUGGGAAAAAGUAAUUAACUAACCAAAGAAUUUAAAAUCCAAAUAAGAUAAUUAACGUAUGAAAGCUGGGUUGAAGCCCACCUUAGAGCCCCUGUCUAUGAAGGCCAAUAAAUCUCCUGUUAUCUGUUUGCUUAGAUCUUUAUGUAUUCCUAUACACUUUUUACUCUACUCUGUUGUUCAACCUUCCUUGGCUUUAUGUAUCUAUUUUAUGUGUAUUGAGAAGGCUAGUUACUAGGUGUCAACUCUUCUCUUUAAAAGAUAAAGUUUUGAGAAAAGGAAAGAAAGACACCCACUGCCAGCUACCUUGUCAUAUGUUGCAUACCAAAAUUGGAUAUUAAUUAUGGUCACUGUAUUCAACCUGCUAACCAAAUUCAAAAAAAUUAGUCUUCCCGAUUGAGUAAGUGAGCCCUGAAAAGACAUUACCCAGCUUAAAAGCCAAAUGAAUGUAGACUUGUGAUUGGUGUAAUUGGUUUUAAAGAAAUUAGUAUGCAUCCCCACUGAAAGCCAGUAAAUAGAGUUGAAGAAGAUGCUAAUGUGCCACAGCUAACAUAAGCAUAAUUUGAUCAGCCGAAUGACUACCAAAUGAAAAAGCAACAUAAACUUAACAGAACUGUUAGGAUUAAUCGAAGACACAUAUAUUUGUGCCAAUUUUCACACCUUUAGCAUUCAAACCUUGCUCUAGAACAACUGCUGUGGUCCGAUGCUGCAGGCAAAAAAUUUGACCUACGAAGCAGCCUCACUCACCAACCUAGCCCCAAAUAAAUUUUUUGAAAUGCCUUGAAAACCUUAACAUUAUAUCCAAAUAAACAUAACUUGUGUUUGUGACGUAAUGAGAUUGCAGUGCAUUCGUAGAGUGUACACUUAUCUGCCAUUUCGGAACAAUUUUUUUUUACUUCUCUUAAAAUUUGCAUAAGAAAUAGCAAUAUGGACAAGUACCUACUUAUGAAAGUGUUAAGAUAUUUUUACAUUUCUUCUUUUUCUUUCAAGGAGUAAAAGUAAUUAUUCAUUUUGUUGAUGCCCAUUUACUCUAUAAAUGCCAUCAUGACCACUGAGAUAUGUUCAUGAAUAAGCAUCUACCAUCAGAUCGAUUCGAAAACGGAAAGGAAUAGAGAAAUAAAAGGUGAAACAAAUGAAAUAAUUAAGGAGAGGAACGAGAUUCUGUUGUCUGGUUAUAACUGGAAAUCAAGCAUGAAAAAGGAAUUGAUUUUUCUUUUUUGGUUGACAGAAUACACUUUCAACUAUAAGAAAAAAAAGAAAAUUUGAAUUUGAUAUUUAACAGAAAAUUCAAAUAAAAUCAAAUUCAUUUGUAAUUUAAGUUCAUUUCAUUCUUAAAAUUUGACAUAUAGAAUAAAAUUUAUAACUGUUUCAAAUACAAAAACAUAUUAAUAUUCAAAAUAAUAAAAUUUUCAUGGCAAAAAGUUAAAAAUAAAAAAUAAAACGGUUUGAUGGAGAAUGGAAUUGAGCAGGGAAAGUUUGAUGGAAGAUGCACACACCAGUUGUGGAAUUAUACUGUUAGUCAUUUUAUUAAAAAAAUAAAAUAAAAAUAAAAAUCACCUCGUUGAAAGAUUAUUUGCUACGAUUAAAAAUUUUAUUUGGUGAGCAAAACGACGUACGGUCCUCAAAAACCUCAUGAUGAUGCAUGUAUAUUCUAAGCUUCAUGACAUCAUAAUAAAAAUGUUUUGCGAAGGUAACUGGAAAUUUGUUUUAUUCAAUGAAUGGUACAUUUACUGGUAUGUUUAAUAGUUUGUGGGUAAUUGUUUAUUUUCUUUUGGUUGAAAAUUUUGCCAUCUCACAAACUAACAACUAAAUUUGACUCCUUUUUAUAUAAAUUUUAUAGGCCCGCCGAUUCACCAAUUUUAUUUUAUAAUCCUUGUAUGUUUGUUAUCUUUAAAUUAUGACCCCAAGUACCAAAAUUCCAAUAUCACGGUCUUUUAUAAGGUUUGGUUAUGAUAAUUAAUUAAUACGAUAAAUACAAACAAGGCACAAAUUAAAAUUUAUAUGGUUCGGCAUAUUAAUUAAUAUGCCUACAUCCACGGAUGGUGAUACCGAAAAUCCACCACAUGAUGAAAAAGUGUACAAACAAUAAUGAAAAUAUUGCUUUCCCAACAAAUUAAUCAGUUAGACGAAUAUAUCCUAAUUAUAAUGGUUUUAUGACAUACAUACAUAUCAAAUUCAUGACUUGUAUUUUGCACUGUUGCAGAGCAAUGAGCAGGCUACAAUACGUUCACUUGUUGAACUCGACCCUCAGAGCGACGGAGAGGACCAUUUGCUGUAUCCUCGAAGACUACCAGAAGGAGGAUGGUGUGUGUGGAAGUACCAGAAGUUCUACAAUAUUGGAAAUGGUUCAGCCGUGAUCAUUGGGAAAAUUAAAAAACCGAAUAAGUAAUAUAAUAAUUAUAAAACCAGUCGGUUCGAUUUUUUAUUUUAAAAAAAUUAAAAAACUGAACCGAUUAUCAAAUAAACCGAAUAACAACCGGAAUCCCUAAAGUGAAUAAAGUCUAAACACUCUAAACUAAAUUGUGACCACUUCUUCUGAGUUCUGAUCAUCAACCUAAAUCGUGACCACUUCUGAGUUCUGAUCUUCAGCUGAAACUGAAAUCGUGACCUUCAGCCGCUGAAGUCUCGUCCCCGUUGCUCGUCGCCGCCACUGCUCGUCGCUGCUGCUUAUCGCUGCUGCUCGUCGCUGCUGCCCAUCGUUGUUGCUCGUCGCCGAGUCUCCGCCACUGUUACCACGUGCUGCAGCCGCUGUCAGCUGCUGCUGCUGCCACUGUCACCAACAACUCUCAGCAGAACAAGGUUUUAUGAAUUUAAAAAGCUAUAGCUAUAAUAUUUUGUUAUCAUUGGGGCCAUAUAAAUUCGUGAGAAUCCCAGAAAUUGCAUUGAAUUUUUACUGAAUCUGAUAAGCCCGGCAUAUCUUAAUCCCAGCUAUUUUGGCUAUAGCGUACCAUUCAUUCGUUAGCUCCAAGGGCCCAUCAACAGGCGUUUUCGGGAAUCGGCUGCGGGGCGAAUUUGGGGUAAAUGCAAGAGGAUAAAAAAAAGCUAUAGCCAAAAUAGCCAAGAGGAUCCCAAGGGCCCCGUCAAUAAGAAUUUGCAGACUUGCAUAAAUAAAUUAUGUAUGAUGCUAUAAAUGAUGCCCAUUAGCCAGACUUGCAUUCUCAGCAAUUCUUCUCCAUUUCUUAAUCCUUUUAUCCAUAUGCUUUGUUAAUGCACAAUACUGUUGAAUAAACUUUGUAUUCCUUUUAUCAGUUUGUUUGAGAUUAAAAUUGGAGGUAAUAAAAUGUUGUUUUGAUUUCAAUUGAGAUGUAUUUAGCUUGAAACAUUGACUUCAUGAAACUAAUUUUGACACUUGAUUUUCUGAUCGAAUUUAUGAUUAUAAUUGGUGAGGAUGAUUUGAAUUUAAUUGCAUGCCAUCAGCCAGGCCAGUGUUGGAAUGUCAUAAUAUUUUUUAUUUGUAAUCCCCAAGAUUUUUUAUUUGUUGCUUCUGUUGUAUUGAUUUGUUGUUGUAGAAUGGAAAACUAUGAUGAGGAGGAAGUGCAAGAGGUGGAGGUUGAUGAUGUGAAAAAAAGAAAAAUACUUUGAGACAUAUUGUGAUUUUUUGUUUGUUAACUUUUUAUGUUUGUGGUAGAUUUAUUAAUUUAAGGUUUUAAAUUUAAAAAAAUCCAAAAUAGGCCCAAUAGGCCUAUAAUCGAAAUAAUCGAACCGAACCGAAUCGAAUUAUUUCAAUUAAUCGAGUAUUUGAUUAUUUCGAUAAUUCGAUUAAUCGCGAUUAUAAUUUUAAAAUAAUUGUAAUCAAACGAUAAUGAAAAGUUUAGUAAAAACCCGAACCGAACCGCGCCCAUCCCUAGCCACCAGAGCUUUAGUUCAGUGAUUUUCUCAAUACGACGUACGGUCCUCAGAACCUUAUCAUGAUGCUUGUAUAGUCUAAGCUUCAUGACAUCAUAUUAAACAGUGUUGGCUUUAACCAAUUGGGGGCCUUAGCCGAAAUUUCAUUUUAGGCAUUCUAAUGUUAAAAUAUCAACUAUCACAAGAAUAUUAAAUAGCUAAAAAAACUCUCACAACAACAUCAAGUAGCUCAAAAUUCAACAAUAUCUUGAAUUACAACAAUUAUUAACAAGAUCUAAAAAAAACAAAAAAUAAUAGUUGGAAAGAUAUCUAUUUCUUUCCACAUGAAUAUUAACUAACUUUGUCUUCCACAAAAUCCAGCUCCUUAAGAUGCUCUAAAACUUCUUCAGCCAUAACCAUAAUCAUCUCGUGAACUUUAUAUCAUUGCUCCUACCUAAUAUGAUCCUAAUCCAUAUUUUCUAGUUGACAUGCUUUUCAAAUUAAAAAAAAAAUAAACAAACAAUUUUUUUUUCUAGAUUAUUCAAGCCAAAAUCAAUACAAAAAAUAAAAAAAUAAAUUAAAUUUAAAAAGGAUAAGAACAGUAAUAAAAAAAUGGAAAAAAAUAGAAUGAUAGCACCUAUAAUUGAGUCAAUUGACUAGUUGAGAUGAGGAUGAUGAUGGCAAUGAAUUUUGUAGAGAAAGAGAAGAGAGCACAAAAACUUUUUGUUGAAAGUAGCUUUGAUUCAAUGUGUAUCGGUUUAUAGAUAAUGAGUUUUUAAAUAUAUUUUAAUAGAAUACUAAAAGUUAGCUCUAAAAAUCCAACGUUACUAAUUUUAAUAAGAGCUCUUUUUGGAAAGGGAAAGCAUUCAUUUGUUUUUUGGGAAAAUAGUAAAAGAAAAUAAAGAAGUAAUGUUAAAAAUAAUUAUUAUACCAUACAAAUAUAUUUUAUAUUUAAGGUAAAGAUUAUUAAAUAGGAGAGACAAUUAUGAAUGAGAGUAAUGAUAGGGUAAAGACUAAAAAUUAGUUUUUUUUAAUUGUAUAAAAAAAAUAUACGUAACUUAAUUUUUUAAUCUUAAAAAAAUUAAUUAUAUUGAUUAAUAAAUAGAUACCAAAAAAUUAAGGUCUUCCUAAAUACGAGGCCCUAGGCAACUGCCUAGUUUGCCUAGUCCUAAAGCCGUCACUGAUAUUAAAAUCAUAUUGCUAAGGUAAUUAGAAAUUUGUUUUAUCCAAUGAAUGUUACAUUUACUGGCAUGUUUAAUAUUUUGCUUUGGUUAAAAAUUUUGCUAUCUAACAGCUAAUAACUGAAUUUGACUCAUUUUUAUGUAAAUUUUAUAGACCCACCAAUUCACCAUUUUUUAUGUUAUGAUCAUUGUAGGCAUGUUAUUUUUUAAAUUAUGAUUCCAUGUGAAAUCAAAAUUUAAAUUUCACCAUCUUUUAUAAGAUUUGAUUAUAAUAAUCAAAUAACACAAUAAACAAACACAAGGCAAAAAAAUUUACGCGAGUUGACAUAUUAAUUAAUAUGCCUACAUCCACGGGUGGUGAUACUAAUAAGCCACUAUAUAAUGAAAAAGUGUACAAAUAACAAUAAGCUCUCAGAUGAGCACAAAAAAAGAAAAAGAAAAAGAAAAAAGAAACACCAAUCUCAACACUCAAAAACAAUCAAUCCCCAGCAGUUUGGCCUCACAAGAGCUCUCUCUGCGUUGUGCUUUCCCUCGUUCAUUCUCUUUACAAAUACAAGGCUCGCAAAAAUACAAAACGAAUUACUGAAAACAUACAUAACAGAUUAAAAAAGCACGCGCCGCGCCCGUCCCCCAAUUCCUGCUCUGCGACGCCAUUUCGUAAUUCCUUUUUGGCUGAAAAAUUAAUAUCGCUUUCCCCAACAAAAAAACAAAUGAAUCAGUUAGACAAAUAUAUCUAAUUUUAAUGGACAUUGUUAAAUUAAUGAAGAAGAGUAGAGAGAGAGCAAACGAGAAGGAAAGCGUAUACAAAUUAUAAUUACUAACCAGAGUUAUUAGCACCAUUACAUAUAUAUAUCCCUGCUGAAUCCCCUCCUCUGUUCACCAUUAGUUUCUAAAAUGGAUUAAAAAAUAACUACUAAUUAAUUUUAAUUAAAAUAGAGUGAGACACGCAAUGCAUGCAGGAGAUCUAGAAAUAAAUUACCCGUGGCGGUGGCCGUGGGUGAUUGUAAUUGACUAAUUGCAGCCGCGCACUUCACUCAAUCUCGAUGUUGGGAAUGUGGCGUAUCUUAGGCCAGUCCUCUCCUGUCUCCUCUCUGUAACGUUCUUCUAAAAUAUAACACCGCCUAAUAUACAAUUCCUGGAGCGUUGUCUUCUGAAGAAGGUGAUCGGGCAGUGCUUUUAAUUUAGGGCAACUCGAAAUAGUCAAGGAAGAAAGACGUGGCAUGAUUAUGAUUUCUUCCUUUAUUGCAGUCCCGAGAUCCCACUCUUCCAGUUCUUCCAUAUAACGAAAUCUGAGCAGUUUCAAUUUGGGAAAGGCAAUAACUGAGCAGCCAUCCGUAUCACCUUCUACUCCCAGAAAUUCAUUACCCACUCUUUUCACAUUUUCCAUUCCUAAAAUAUGAAGAGAUUCAAGGGAUGGCAAUUUUCCCAAAGGAGGCAAAUGCUCACAAUUUCUCCACCCGAAGAGAAAUAAAACCGUUAAAUUGGUUAACGACAUGAACCAAUUUAUGGGGACAACAUUCCUCCUCCCUCUGUAUUCGUCUAUCCGUAAUUUCUUUAAAUUAGGAGAUGGUCCCAAGGCUUCAAGAAGCCGUUCAUCUUCAUCCUCCUCAUUCUCCCUCCUCCCAGCUCGUUCUUCAUCUCCAUCUCUUGAAUGACCAAAAUGAAGUCCCAAUUUUAAGAGAUUUUUCUUUUUCUCAAGUUCAGCCCUUCUAGCCUCCCCCGCAUCUGACACAUCACCCAGCCCACGUAUCCUGCAGUCUCGAAGGAGGUUAAGCUUUUUAAGAGACCCAAGGCUACAUGCUCUGUCAUACCCUCCACCCACAACAAAAUCUCUCACCCUCCGAAGCCUGAUUAAUUCCCCAAUCCCUGCCGGCAAGUAUCUUAAAGAAUCAGUCCCCUCAUUGUGUAAAUACAUCAGCUUUCUUAACUUCCCUAUCCCUCGAGGUAAUUCUCUAAGUUUUACACAACAACUAACAUCUAAACGUUCUAACUUAUAUAACUCACACAUGGUCUCAGGUAAUUUUUCUAUCUUCUUUAUACCUUUCAAAUUAAGGUAUUUCAAAUGUAACAAUUUUUCUAUAUUUGUUGGAAUUUCCUUGAUGUAAUUCACACAUGACCACCUAUCACGAUUUAAUUUUAAUGCCCUUAAACAAGUUAAUUUAUCAAAUAAUUGAGGUAGGACUUUGCUAGACCAUGAAUGUUCAUCACUUUCAACUAAGAGGCUACGCAAUCGUCGCAAUCGUUUAACAUUACCCCAAAUGGAGAUCGGAACCGAAGCCCCUCUAUAUAAAGUUAACAUUAAAUGAAGGAUUUUUUUCUCCCCAAAAGAGCUCAUAGCUGACUCUUCACCACCAUGAAUUUCUAUUGUUGAACACUCAUUACUACAUAAGUAUUGAGCAAAGUCAUGCACUAUAUCGUGCAUUUUGCAAGUAGAGAUUUCACCAUCAUCAUCUUUUUUAAAAUCCUGAAAGAAUGAAUGGCUAGCUAAGAUGUUGAAAUACUCUUCACCAAUAUCCUCCAUCUCUUUGGCCCCUUUCUCACUAAGAUAACCUUGUGCCAUCCAUAGGUUAAUUAACUCUUUUUUUUGUAUGCCGUAGUCUUUUGGAAAGACGGCACAAUAAGUGAAACAUUGUUUAACCUUAGAGGGCAAUUCAUUGUAACUCAACAAUAGAGGGGUCAAAAGGCCUCUCUCAACCUCUUCUAGUUCCCAUAUCUCACUCUCUAAGAUAUUUUGCCAUUCUUUUUCAGUGUUUCUAGACUGCAGGAGACUAGCAAUCGUCUUUGCAGCUAAAGGUAAGCCCUUGCACUUGCUUACAAUUUGUCGGCCAAUAUUUUCUAAUUUUUCACAUUCCUCCUUGGACCUGUCGAAAAAUGCUAACUGCUCAAACACUGACCAGCAUUCUAUUUCAGACAAUACAUUGACAGAGGUAACAUUGGUUGAUCUGAUACAACGGGCAACUCUAUCCUUACGCGUGGUAAUCAAAAUUUUACUUCCAUGGAGACCAUUCUUUAAACAUUUGUAGAAUGGUUCCCACUUAUAGUAAUCUUCGUUCCACACGUCGUCUAAGACAAGAAGAAAUUUCUUCCCUUCAACCCAUUCUUGAAUGUGUUGCAUGAGAGAUUGAAACUCUACAAGGUCUUUGGCGGAACCUGGUUUCAGAGCCUCAAUGAGUGCUCUAGCGAUUCUGAACUCAUCAAAAGGAUCUGACACACAGACCCAUAUUCUUUCAUCAAAAUGUUUUUUAACAUCACCGUUGUUGUAGGCAAAUUGAGCAAGAGUUGUUUUGCCUAUGCCCCCCAUCCCAACAAGUGAGAUGAUACAAGGGCCUUUCUGUUCCUUACUGUUAAGGAAGCACACAUCAGUAGCAUAGACUGUAAAGCAGAGGAUAGCAGCAGCUCCAGCUUACAGUUAAGAGUUGAUGACAUGGCAUGCCAGCUGGCACCUGGUGGUUAUGUAAUCACUUGUUCACGUGAUAAUUAGUUGAAGUUGUUAUAGCUAGCUAGAAUUAGUUUUGUAAUGAGUUAACUAAUUGAGCUUAGCAUCAGUUGUGUAUAUAAGCAUCUCUGUGUACAGUUUCAUAAGUAAGUUUUAGAUGAAUAAAAUCGUGUGAGCAAAAAGCUUUCAGUUCUUAAAUUUUCUCAGCUUCCAAACAUCCUUUUUCUGAUUUCUUACUUGGUAUCAGAGCUUUAAUGGCAUCUGUGAAUCUUGCCUCUUCCUUAAAUCAAGUUCAUAAUACCGCUGCACAUUCAACAACAGUCAAUUUCACUUUCAAUACUCCCGUUAAACUUGAUCAAUCAAACUAUUUGAUCUGGAGAUCUCAAGUGCUUGCUUCAAUUUGAGGAAAUAGACUUGAGAAAUUUAUCGAUGAGUCAAUCACUCCACCUCCUUCUCAUAUUGCUCAUAGAUAUGAUGAUGAGCUUAGAUCUGUGGAGAAUCCAGAAUUUGCAACCUGGAGAGCACAAGAUCAAAUACUUCUCGGUUGGCUUCUUUCAUCCAUGAGUGAAGGUAUCAUCAGUUUGGUGUUCAAUCUUGAGACUUCAUUGGAGGUAUGGAAAGCUGUUGAAACUCAAUUUGGAUCUCAAUCAAAGUCUAGGUUAUUACAUUUGAGAUAUUUGAUGAAUUCCACUAGAAAGGAUGAUCUUAAAAUGACUGAAUACUUCAUUAAAAUGAAAUCUAUUGCUGAUAACAUGGCUGCAGCAGGAAGUGCAUUAAGCAAUGAUGAUUUGAUUUUACAUGUACUCUCUGGUCUAGGUCCUGAUUAUAAUUCUGUUGCUACUUACAUCACUGGACAAGUAGGAACUGGAAAAAUGAAUGUUAAUGAGGCUUAUGCUAUGCUGUUAACUCAAGAGGCUAGGAUUGAUCAACAAACUCAUAUGCUUGCUAAUAUGGAUGUUAAACACAAUUUAGAAGCUAACUUUGCACAAAAUAGAGGACCUAAGAGAGGAAACUUCUCAGGAGGAAAAGGUUUUGGUAGUCUUGGAUAUAAUACAGGCUACAGUAAUGCUGGAAAUUCUGGAAAUAGUGGUUACAGAGGAAAUUAUGGAUCAUCUGGUUUUGCUGUUGGAAGUGCUGGAAAUAAUGGUUACAGAGGAAACUAUGGAGGAGGAGGAGGAGGAAACUGGAAUAAUAAUAAUGCUGUCAAUAAUGGCAAAACACCUGGAAAUCCUAAAUCUCAGUGGAAUCCUUCUAAGCCUACAUGUCAAGUUUGUCUCAAAAUAGGUCACACAGCUAAUGUAUGCUGGAAGCUGGAAGAAUUUAUUGCUUCAGGAGCUUAUAGACCACCUCCAAACAGGAAUCCGAAAUCUGCAUAUCUGGCAAACAUGGAAGGAUCAUCUGAUACAAAUUGGUACCUUGACAGUGGUGCCACUCACCAUCUCACAAAUGACAUGAACAAUAUGCAGAUUUCUGAAUCAUUUACAGGUACAUCUAAACUCAUUAUUGGUAAUGGUACUGGCUUGAAUAUUACACAUAUUGGAAAAGCUGUUCUGAGAUUGCACAACUGCACUGAUUCCACUGUGAUUAAACUAAACAAUAUACUUUUAGUUCCACAAAUAACCAAGAACCUUAUAAGCAUUUCUCAGCUAACCAAAGACAACAAUAUCACAGUUGAGUUUGCUGACAAAUCUUGUUUUGUGAAGGACAAGGUGAAGAAUUUGAUCAUACUGCAGGGCAAGGCUGAAAAAGGCUUGUACAGAUUGCUAUUAGUGUCCUCAAAUAAAACUUCUGCUCAGUCUUCCUUUCAAGGUCAUGUUGCCAAUAUUGAGUCUUCUUUUCAGUCUUUUGUUCCUUUGUCAAUGCUAUCAACUGUCAAUCUCAGUCAGUCAAAUAAUCACUGCUUGUAAAAUGUGGCAGCAGAACCUUGUAUGAACUCUAAGUGUCUUUUAAGCACUUCUGUAUUACAUCAGAGGCUAGGUCAUCCUAACUCUAAGAUCUUAAACCAUGUAAUACAAUCUUGUUCCUCUUUCAAACCUAUCAAUGGAAAUAAAGAGUUUGAUUCAUGUGAUGCUUGUAAAUUUGGGAAAAUGCAUAGAUUACACUUUCCAGCAACUGAAACAAAAACAAAACAACCUUUAGCCAUUUUACAUACUGAUUUAUGGGGACCAGCUCCAGUGGUUUCCACACAAGGUUAUAAAUAUUAUGUGAGCUUUGUGGAUGAUUUUACCAGAUUCACUUGGAUAUUUCCCCUGAAAACCAAAGAUGAAACUCUUCAUGUGUUCAAAAUUUUCAAAGCUCAAGUUGAAAAACAAUUAGAACAGCCCAUUAAAUGUCUUCAAUCUGACUGGGGAGGGGAAUUCAGAUCCUUUAGCAAAUAUCUUCAAGAAGAAGGGAUAGAAUUUAGACACUCUUGUCCUUAUACACAUAACCAAAAUGGUUUGGUAGAAAGGAAACACAGACACAUCACUGAAUCAGGACUUACUCUUCUUGCACAAGCUAAAUUACCUAUCAAAUUCUGGUGGGAUUCCUUUCAUACAGCAGCCUAUCUCAUUAACAGAUUACCAACACCUAUUCUAGCAAUGAAAACUCCAUAUGAAUCAAUCUUUCAUCAUCAACCAGACUAUAACUUUCUAAGAACAUUUGGAUGUUCUUGUUUUCCUUUUCUCAGAGAAUACAAUAACCAUAAAUUUCAUUUCCAUACUUCAAAGUGUGUCUUCUUAGGAUAUAGUCCUUCACAUAAGGGCUAUAAGUGUCUACAUUCAUCAGGCAAAAUUUAUAUUGCCAGUCAUGUAUUGUUUGAUGAAACCACUUUCCCUUACAUUUCAGAUCCAAAUUUUUCUUCCUCUUCUAAACACACUUCCUCUGAUUUUCAAUAUAAUCUUUUUCAAAGGUUUACUCUGUCAGUUCCUAAUAGCAUUCUGAACAGUCUUGAAGCUACUGCAGCAGAUCAAUUCCCUGUCAAUCAUUCUUUAUCAUCAAAUUCACCUCAAUCUCAGUCACCCACAAAUCAGACCUCUACAUCUUUGCCUUCACCUGCACCCCAGUCACCAGCACCACAAAUACCCUGCACAACACAAACAUCUCAGCCUAAACCUUCUACUUCCACCCAUCAUAUGAUAACCAGAGCUAGAGCUGGUAUUUUCAAACCAAAGACCUUUCUAACAACUCACAACAGCUUAGAACCAUCCACUGUCCCUGAGGCAUUAUCAGAUCCUAAAUGGAAAGAUGCAAUGCAAACUGAGUAUGAUGCUCUUAUUCACAACAACACUUGGACUCUUGUGCCAAUGUCUUCAACAUACAAGCUAGUUGGUUGUAAGUGGGUAUUCAGAACAAAGUAUAACACAGAUGGAACUGUCAGCAAGUAUAAAGCUAGAUUGGUUGCAAAGGGAUUUCACCAAACAGCAGGGGUAGAUUAUUCAGAAACUUUCAGUCCAGUGGUGAAGUCUUCAACAGUUAGAGUUAUACUCAGCUUGGCAGUUAUAAAAGGGUGGAAAGUCAGACAAAUUGAUGUAAAUAAUGCAUUCCUUAAUGGAGAUCUUUCUGAAAACGUAUAUAUGACACAACCAGAAGGCUUUGUAACUAAGGAAGGGUACAUCUGCAAACUCAAUAAAGCUCUCUAUGGUCUAAAACAAGCUCCACGAGCCUGGUAUGAAAAAUUGAAGGGUUGUCUAACUACUUGGCAAUUUCUUAAUUCAAAGGCUGAUACAUCUCUAUUCAUUAAACAUGAUACAAGGGGCUUAAUCAUAGUAUUGAUCUAUGUGGAUGAUAUUCUAGUCACUGGACCAGAUUCUGCUUUACUAGAGGAUUUUAUUGUUAAACUCAGUCAGACAUUUGCCUUGAAAGAUCUGGGAUUAGUUGCUUACUUCCUAGGUGUUGAAGUUAGUUACUUUGAUGAAGGUAUGCAUCUAUCUCAAACAAAGUAUAUUAAAGACUUGCUGAGUAAAGCAUCUAUGGAGAAUUGCAAAGGGUCUGAUACUCCUCUUAGUACUGGUUUGAAGCUAGAAAGAAAUGUCAGGGGUCCUUUGGGUCAGGAGUUCGAAAAUCCAACACAAUACAGAAGCAUAGUUGGAGGGUUACAAUAUCUAAUUCUCACCAGGCCGGAUAUAGCUUAUUCAGUUCAUAAGCUCAGUCAAUACCUCAGUUCUCCUACUGUUCAGCACUGGUUAGCCUGCAAAAGAGUUCUUCGAUAUCUCCAGUCAACCAUCACCUAUGGUCUCUAUCUCAGAAAGGAAGCAACUCUGGAAAUUGGAAUAACAGGCUAUACAGAUGCUGACUGGGCUUGUGAUCUUGACGACAGAAAAUCAAUUGGAGCCUAUUGUAUAUACUUGGGUAACAAUCUGAUUUCAUGGUCUUCCAAAAAGCAAGCUAUUAUAGCAAAGUCAAGCACAGAAAGUGAAUAUCGAGCCCUGUCAGCAGCAUGCUCAGAAAUUUCUUGGUUGCAGUCUUUAUUUUCAGAACUCAACAUUGCUAAACUACCUACUCCAGUUCUUUGGUGUGAUAACCAAAGUGCAGGGGAGCUAGCUCGCAACCCUGUGUUUCACUCAAAAUCUAAGCACAUAGAGUUGGAUGUUCAUUAUGUUAGAGACAAAGUGCUUGGAAAAGAAUUGGAGGUUAGAUACAUUCCUACUGAAGAACAAGUAGCUGAUGUUCUGACUAAGCCCUUAUCUUUUUCUAAAUUCAGCUUUUUUAGAUCCAAGCUCAAUGUCGUUAGUAGACCUUUGAGCUUGAGAGGGGAUGUUAAGGAAGCACACAUCAGUAGCAUAGACUGUAAAGCAGAGGAUAGCAGUAGCUCCAGCUUACAGUUAAGAGUUGAUGACAUGGCAUGCCAGCUGGCACCUGGUGGUUAUGUAAUCACUUGUUCACGUGAUAAUUAGUUGAAGUUGUUAUAGCUAGCUAGAAUUAGUUUUGUAAUGAGUUAACUAAUUGAGCUGAGCAUCAGUUGUGUAUAUAAGCAUCUCUGUGUACAGUUUCAUAAGUAAGUUUUAGAUGAAUAAAAUCGUGUGAGCCAAAAGCUUUCAGUUCUUAAAUUUUCUCAGCUUCCAAACAUCCUUUUUCUGAUUUCUUACUCUUACUACUCUCAUAUAACAACCUAUUAACGAGUUCGUUCUUCUCUUUUUGUCUACCAAAUAUCUCGGACUCAUCAAUUGAGGAGAUACUUGCCGGCCCUCGUUGAUCCGCUCUCUCAUUACUCUUGGUAACAUUCACAGCAAAACCAAACAUGGCUUUUUGUUUGUCAAUAUCAUCAAGAGUUUCAUUGAUGUCUUUCAUCUUGAGAGCAAUGCGACGACGUAAAAAAAUAGGUUUGCAGCCAAAGCAAGAGGCAGCAGGAAAGAAGGAACCUACCUUCUUCUUAGGAACGAGAGCAUCAUUCUCAUGAUCAUCCACCCCAUCGAUCUGCAGUUUGAGCCUUGCAGUGUUCCACUCACCCAACACAUCUUCCAUGUCGUAACAUGCGCAUCUGAGUCGAUCGAGCCAGAGUCUGACAGUUUCCUCCUUUACUUGCCUUUUCUCUGCAUCAUGGAGCACAGCUCGAAUGGCUUGGAGAUUGCUGGUCAGCUUCUUCGAUUCCUUUCCGACACCCGUUACAAGCCUCAAUUGUUCCUUCGCCUCUUCAACAGCCAUUGAGGUCAGCAGCUCCAAGAGAGGGGAAAUGAUCGCAUCAACCAUGGUGAAAAAGAAAAAUGAGAGAGAGAAGAAAUUGAUGGUGAGUUGUAGCAAAAGUAAGUAGCUAAUGCUGAAAGAAAUGAAGGAGCUGAUAAUGUGGUGAAAAUGUUGCCGUAUUCUUUCAAUUCUUAUAGUACUGCAAGCAAAAUUCUAAUUUAGAAAUAUUUCAUUUCAGCCCCUUGUGAAAGAAGCUACUGUUAUUAUUAUUACUUUUUUUUUUUUUUAAUACCAGCAAAGAGUGAAAAUGACGUACAGUUGUGGACAGGAAAUAAUAUAUUGUUAGGUCCUACAUCGGCGAUUCACGCGGUAUAUAAAGAAACUGACAAAGUUUUCUAUGAUCUCUUUUUAAAUAAUUGAACAAGUUGUUAGAUAAUAUGUAUGAUCGUGUCGUCAUAUUGAGAUUUGGAAGCAUUUAGUUGAAAUACCUUGACCAUCUCUUUCUUAUUUUCUUCUUCUUCUUUUCUUUUUUUUUAAAAAAAUUUGACUCGUUUGCAUAAUUAGUUGAAAGGAAAGAAUGAACAUACUAAUAAACUAGGAAAACGCUGCCACAUAAUAUUUUAAGAUUCAUAUCGAACCACUUUAUUUAGAUUUUGUCAUUUUAGCAGAUGUCUGAUAGUGGGAGUUUAGAGUUUAAUCUCUAACUUUGCUUGUGAAGUGUGAAAAAUCAAAUAAUCUUUUCAACUCGUUUUUCAACAAAAAUAGAUAACAAUUCAUCAUCAGUUAUUUCUCUUUAUGUAUAAAAUGAUCAAUCUAGAGCUGGAUAUUCACAUGUUUUUCUAUUUCUAAUCAUUUCAAAAUAUAAUAUGAACUUUUAAAAAAAAAUCAAAUUGUAAUAAAGUGACAUAAAUAUUAAAAAAUAAAAAUAAAAAGUCAAAAACGUAAUGCCGAAAAAAGACAAAACCUUUUUGUUUGUUCUAUUCAUGGCAUCUAAAUAUGAGAAAUGAUGGGUUGAUUGUCAUUGUGAACAACCAUAUUAAUUGCAACACGUGAAUACCAUCAAAGUUAUAAUAAUUUAUGGACCCAUGCACCUGUAUUUCUAAUUAUUCCGCGUAGAAGGCUAAAGUUUAAUGUGUGAUUCUCAAAUUCAUUGUCAAGUGAUUUGAAUGUUUUAACGAACAGUGCUUACUUUUCUUUUUGAAGGAGCACAAUAACAACUUGAAGAUUCCUGGAAAUUGCCUACAGCACAAAUAUUUUUCAAUUGAACAAAAACCAUCAAUAAUUUUCAAACUUAGAAGAUAUUUAUUUUUUUCCCCAUAACCCACCAAAAACUUUUUCAUUUAGUGUAACUUUGUAAUUUUCUUAGAUGAUACUUAAAACUGCUAAUAUCUUCUAAUUAUUGUUUUAAAAAUCUCAAUGAUUGCAUGCCCAAUUAACGGAUCAGUAAUCUCAGUUUGACAUAUUUAUUUAAAAAAAAGAAAUAUACAGAUUGUUUGAUGACUCUAGAAUAGAACAUCAGGAAAUGAAGAGAAAAAGUAACAUACUUUAUGACGAUCAUUGCCGAUGACAUAACAGAUGUAAGUAUUUAUUGCCAAUUAAUUGACAUUCUUAUCAAGUAAUUGUUUUAGACUUGAAUUCAAAAGCUCUACUCCGCUCUGCCCUUCGGUAAUUCCCCUGUUCAAAAAAUAAUAUUGUUUUAAAAAUCUCAAUAACAACAUGCCCAACAUAACAGGAAGAUUCGACUUUCUCAGAAGAACUACUUGAAAAAAAUCUUGCAACGCUUCAACAUGCAAGAUUGUAAGUCAAUUUCCACCCCACUUUCUGUCAAUUUCAAGUUAUCCUCAAGUAUGUGUCCUAGUAAUGAAGCAGAGAGGAAGGAGAUGUCUCGAGUACCAUAUGCAUCAGCAGUGGAAAGUUUAAUGUUCGCUAUGAUAUAUACUAGACCAGACAUUGCACAAGCAGUGGGAGCAGUCAGUCGAUACAUGGCGAAUCCUGGUGGAGAGCAUUGGAUAGUUGCGAAGAGGAUUCUAAGAUACAUCAGAGGAACCUCAGAUGUUGCAUUAUGUUAUGGAGGAUCAGAGUUUACUGUCAGGAACUAUGUGGAUUCAGAUUUUGUAGGAGAUCUUGAUAAAAGAAAAUCCACUACUGGCUAUGUGUUUACACUUGCGGGAGCAGCUGUAAGCUGAGUUUCUAAACUGCAGACCGUUGUGGCUCUAUCUACAACAGAAGCAGAGUACAUGGCAGCUACACAAGCUUGCAAGGAAGCUAUCUGUAUACAAAGGUUAUUAGAGGAGCUCGGGCAUAAACAAGAGAAAAUUUAUGUGUUUUGUGACAGUUAGAGUGCCUUGCACAUUGCAAGGAAUCCAGUCUUUCAUUCCAGGACAAAGCACAUAGGAGUUCAGUAUCACUUUUUUCGAGAAGUAGUGGAAGACGAAAGUGUGGAUUUACAAAAAAAAAUCCAUACGAAUGAGAACCUAGCAGAUAUUUUGACCAAGCCGAUCAAUGCUGGCAAGUUUAUCUAGAGUAAAUUAGGGAUGGCAAAAACCGGGUCCGGGUCCGGGUUUGGCCUUUCCGGUUCCGGACCCGGAUGCCAAUUCUCCUUCCCGGAUCCGGAUAUAAACCCGCAUUUUCUUUCUCCGGGUUCGGUACGGGUUCAACCCGGAAAAAUCUGGGUUUCCGGAUUACGGGUUUUGAACCCGAAAAGUUGGAGUCUGGAACAAUAAAGCCUUUGUGCAUGCCCCUUUUGACUCUGGACGAGUGGAUUAGCGGUUUAUUUGAGGUGUCGGUUGAGACACCGGCGAGUCCAGGAAGCAGCAGCCAUGAAAGCAGUGAGCAAGGUUUGAGAUCCAGCAUCCACGAACAAGAGAGAGAUGAGAUCGAGCGCCAACAAGAGUGGAUUAGCAGUUUCUUUAAGGUGUCGGUUGAGGCACCAGCAAGUCGAGGAGGUGGCAGCCAUGAGAGUAGCGAGCAAGGUUUGAGAUCCAGCAUCCAAGAACAAGAGAAAAAUGAGAUCGAAUUUGAUGAGAGAUGAGAGAUAAGGUUGAAUUUGAUGAUGCCAAAGAUUGUUUGUUGCUUUUGAUGAUGAUUGAUGAUGAAUUGACAAUUAUUUAAAUUGAUGUUGAGGAUGAUAUUGAUUGUUAUUAUUGUUGAUAAUGAAUUGACGAUGGGUGGAUGAUGAUGAAUUGAAUUGAUGUUGGGGAAGAGGAAAAUAAAGGUGGCGGCUAAGGUGGGGAUUUAGGGUUUCUUUUCGUUUCUUUCCUUUUUUUUUUUUUUACUUUUGGCUUUUAUAUUUAUAUUUAAUAAUAAAAAUUAAUUAAUUAAUAAAUUAUUAAUAUUUUAGUGCAGGUCCGGGUUCCUGGAAUCCGGGUUUGGUUGAACCCGCAACCGGACCCGCAUGUAUCCGGGUUUGAAAAAAUGCUACCCGGAUCCGCAUUUUUAUGCACCCGGGAUGGGUUUAACCCGGACCGGAUCGUCCGGGUUUAUCCGGGUUCGGGCCGGGUCCGGAAAAAUUUGCCAUCCCUAGAGUAAAUCCUCUUGUGGCCUAGCAGAAACGUAGGCAACAUGAUUAUGUCGAAUCAGAAAGGAUGGUGUGGAGAUUGAUUGAUUCUCAAUCUAAUCUCCAAGUGGGAGAAUGUUAAAGUCAUGGUUGGGAGGUGUCACCCAAAGAAAGAAACAAAAGAGAAAGAAGAAAAAGAAGAAAAAAUGGGUACCGGGCUAUAAAGGGCAAAGAAAAAAAAUUAAUAAAAUAAUAAAAAUAAUAUAUGAUUGAUGAAUAGUGCCAAAACUUUCUCUAUAAAUAGAAACGAAGAGAAUGAGCAAAUUCAUUUCAUCGAGAGAGAAGCAUUUCCUUCCUUUAGAGAGGUGAGAGUAUCAAGAGUUUAAUAAACUCUUGAGUGAUUAGUGUUUUGAGAGUUUGGGUGUAUUGGGAUUUUAGGUAGUGAGGUAAAAUACCACAAUACUUGUAACUCCUUUUCACUAGUAAAAUAUUUUUCUUCUUUUUCGCCCGUGGACGUAGGCUAAAAGUCGAACCACGUAAUUUCUUGUGUCCACUUUUUGUGCUUGUUCUUUGUUUUCUUACAAUUUCAUUUUAGCUGCGUGUUUGCUUCACUCAUCAAGUAAACAUCAUCAAUCAUUUUCGUUUUGAAUUAUGAUUUUUCAAUCCAAAAAGUAGAUGCCAGUAAAAGAGAGAGUUAAACUUGACUCACCCGCUUUUCUAAUUGUUCUGAUUUGUUGUAUAAUUUAUUCUAAAGUUAUUUUAUAAUUUAUCUAAAACGUAUAUAACACGUUCUCAAUUUUAUUACUAUAAACUUACGCUGUAUUGUCUAGUCUUAGUAAGUAACGACUCAAUUGGAUGUGGGAGGAUCCCUUCCGCUUUGACCAAAAAAACUGUUUCGAGGACAGUAUUCUAACUCAACUCAAGUGCUGAACAAAGAAAGAAACGCUGAGAACAUUAAUGAAAGUUAUCAUACAGAGCAAACAAGUCAAGAGUACACACAAGAGGAGAAAUAAUUAACACAAUUAUUUUACAUGGUUGAGUUUCUCUAAGCCCACGUCCACGAAGACAGACACUUGGCCAAGGAAAUAAUUGACCAAGGAAUUUACAAGGAAACUCUCUUUUCCAGAAGUUACAAGAGCCCUGACACUAUUCCUCUCGAGGUCUAGUUCAAGUCGCCCAAGCCUCUCAAGCUCCCUUAAGAACUCUGCUUUCUUGCUGUUCAAGAAAGCGCCUGAUUGGAAUCACAUGCUCCACGUGACAUCUGGCAUAACUAAAUCUGCUGCCGUACCCGGCCAAUUUAUGAUGCCACUUAUGAUACCCUGUCUCGUCAGCUUCCUUGCCCUGCGUCAUCAUAGGACCUUACAUCUUGGAACCUCCAUGAAAGCUGAAUCUCUAACAGCCCAUCAUAAAAGAUAGUAGUUUUAAAAUAUGGAAAUUACCAAAAAUACCUGCACAUUUUGAAAUUUGUCAAAAAAUGAAGAGUUGAAAGCAAUAGGAAGACGUAAUUAACCAACCAAUUUGAUUCCUCUGAUCGCUUUCAUCUCAGGACUCUUUGUCUUCCCGUGCGUCUUCGAUUCCACAGGACAAUCUUGGAUUGAAUUUAUACAUCAGAAGAAAAUAUCAAUAUGCCCAAAAUAAAAAGUUGCUUCCAGUGCAGAAAUAAGAGAAAUUGACACACCUUUUUCCACCACAGAAGAUGGUGUCAUAUAGAAGUAUUCUGUCGCAGACUUAACAUACCUAUCAAGUAAUUAAUAAUUCAAGAUAUAAUAACUCUUGACAAUUAUAUAUUCAUAUACAUGUUAGUAGCAUGAUGCUACCAAUAUUCGCACCUUUAGCAUUCAAACACUUGAUCAUUGAAAGAAUUUAAGAAAAAUGUUGUUUGGUUACUGAGAAAAUAUCUCAACAAAAUUUUCAGAGAACUUUCCGGAAUUCUUGCCUGUAUUUCACUUAAUGAAAAAUGUUAAAAUUACAUUCAAUUUAUAUUCGAUGCUUUAGCAUUACUAUAACUAACUCAGAACAUACUACACAUGCUUAACUACAGCUCAAUAUAUACAGAGUAAGUCAUAACAAACUUUUAACUACUUAUGCUGAGGUGGCAACUGAGCUGUUAUUCUGCUUAAUCAUCUGACGUCAACAACUUGCUGGUUUUCCUCAGCUUGAGCGUCUUCUUCCUUUCUGGACAAUGAGCUUCUUUAACAAUCAUUGAAGCAGCCUUUCUCACCAACCUAGCUCCGACAUUAAUCUAUAGAGUUAUCAAGACCGACAUUCGAUGACGUAAUUACACUUUAAUUGGAUUACAAAUAACAAACGAAUAAAACGGAGCAGCAGAAGAAAUUACCAUUGGCUGAUGGUUGUUGCAGGCGUUAUGAGAAUUCCUCAAGGGCUUCCUUUGAUCAACUUCCCAUUGGUCUCGAUGUUGGAAACGUGGGAUAUCUUAGGCCCUGUAUCCUUCUUGCAACGCUCUUCUGAAAUAGAACAUCUCCCACCUUGCCCCUGCCGAAGUUAUGAGUCACCCCUCAAUUUCAAUCGAAAUACUGCUCUGCCAUGCCCUUACACCGUAACGUAAUUACUCUGUUCAAAAAUCUUGCUUUGAAAAUCUCAGUAAUUGAACAUGCUCAAGAAAUCAGUCUCAGUUUGAUGCAUUACAAAAAUAAUCAACCACACAAUGGGCUGAUGAUUAUCUACAAUUGAAAAUUAGCAAAUGAAGAGGAGAGAGCAACUACAAAAGCAACAAUGUCCGAUUAAGCCGCUGAUACAAUCAAUCAAACAAUAAGAAAAGGAUCAACAACACAAAAAGCACACGCAAGGCACAAAGAUUUACAUGAUAUAUCCACAGGUGGUGAGCUGGUAUCCACUAUACGUGUGAUGAAAACAAGUGUAUAUAUAUAAAGAACACCACCACCUGUCUCCUCACAAUAAACCCCUAGAACACAAGCGCAAAUAAAAAUGAGCCAAUUCCUGCUCUGCUCUGCCGUCAUGUACGUAACUCCUCUGCUAAGAAAUAUUGCCUUAAAAUAUCGGUAGCAUUUGCAUGCAUGACCAGCAAAUCAGUUAGACAUAUAAAAUUAUCAACCACACAGGAAAUCAGCAAAUCAGUGGUUUCAUGAAUUUGUAAUAUUUGAACAUCAGAAUAUGAAGAGUACAGGGCAAUGGGAAAAAGUAAUUAACCAACCAAAUAAAUUUAAAUCCAAAUAAGAUAAGUAACGUAUGAAAGGAGGGUUGAAGCCCACCUUAGAAACUCCUGUCUAUGAAGGCCAAUAAAUCUCCUGCUAUCUGUUUGCUUAGAUCUUUAUGUAUUUCUAUACACUUUUUACUCUACUCUGUUGUUCAACCUUCUUUGGUUUUAUGUAUCUAUUUUAUGUGUAUUGAGAAGGCUAGUUACUAGGUGUCAACUCUUCUCUUUAAAAGAUAAAGUUUUGAGAAAAGGAAAGAAAAGACACCCACGGCCAACUACCUUGUCAUAUUUUGCAUACCAAAAUUGGAUAUUAAUUAUGGUCACUGUCUUCAACCUGCUAACCAAAUCCAAAAAAUUGGUCCUCCCGAUUGAGUAAGUGAGCCCUGAAAAGACAUUACCCAGCUUAAAAGCCAAAUGAAUGUAGACUUGUGAUUGGUGUAAUUGGUUUUAAAGAAACUAGUAUGCAUCCCCACUGAAAACCAGUAAAUGGAGUUGAAGAAGAUGCUAAUGUACCACAGCUAACAUAAACAUAAUUUGAUCAGCCGAAUGACUACCAAAUGAAAAAGCAACAUAAACUUAACAGAACUGUUAAGGAUUAAUCGAAGACACAUAUAUAUUUGUGCCAAUUUUCACACCUUUAGCAUUCAAACCUUGCUCUAGAACAACUGCUGUGGUCCGAUGCUGCAGGCAAAAAAUUUGACCUACGAAGCAGCCUCACUCACCAACCUAGCCCCAAAUAAAUUUUUUGAAAUGCCUUGAAAACCUUAACAUUAUAUCCAAAUAAACAUAACUUGUGUUUGUGGCGUAAUGAGAUUGCAGUGCAUUCGUAGAGUGUACACUUAUCUGCCAUUUCGUCGGAACAAAUUUUUUUUACUUCUCUUAAAAUUUGCAUAAUAAAUAGCAAUAUGGACAAGUACCUACUUAUGAAAAUGUUAAGAUAUUUUUACAUUUCUUCUUUUUUUUUUAAGGAGUAAAAGUGAUUAUUCAUUUUGUUGAUGCCCAUUUACUCUAUAAAUGCCACCAUGAUCACUGAGAUAUGUUCAUGAAUAAGCAUCUACCAUCAGAUCGAUUCGAAAACGGAAAGGAAUAGAGAAAUAAAAGGUGAAACAAAUGAAAUCAUUUAAGGAGAGGAACGAGAUUCCAUUGUCUGGUUAUAACUGGAAAUCAAGCAUGAAAAAGGAAUUGAUUUUUUUUUUUUUUGGUUGACAGAAUACACUUUCAACUAGAAAAAAAAAAAGAAAAUUUGAAUCUGAUAUUUAACAGAAAAUUCAAAUAAAAUCAAAUUCAUUUGUAAUUUAAGUUCAUUUCAUUCUUAAAAUUUGACAUAUAGAAUAAAAUUUAUAACUGUUUCAAAUACAAAAACAUAUUAUUAUUCAAAAUAAUAAAAAUUUUCAUGGCAAAAAGUUAAAAAAAUAAAAUAAAACUGUUUGACGUAGAAUGGAAUUGAGCAGGGAAAGUUUGAUGGAAGAUGCACACACUAGUUGUGGAAUUAUACCGUUAGUCAUUUUAUUAAAAAAAAUAAAAUAAGAAUAAAAAUCACCUCGUUGAAAGAUUAUUUGCUACGAUUAAAAAUUUUAUUUGGUGAGCAAAACGACGUAGGGUCCUCAAAAACCUCAUGAUGGUGCAUGUAUAUUCAAAGCUUCAUGACAUCAUAAUAAAAAUGUUUUGUAUUAUGAUGAGUCAUACGUUCACUUGUUGAACUCGACCCUCACAGCGACGGAGAGGACCAUUUGCUGUAUCCUCGAAGACUACCAGAAGGAGGAUGGUGUGUGUGGAAGUACCAGAAGAUCUGCAAUAUUGGAAAUGGUUCAGCCGUGAUCAUUGGCAAUCAGACAAGAUUAUUGGCAAUAUUGUAGGCUUGUGUCUUUUACCCGUUAGAAGGAUAACUUGUGCACUUAAAUUUGGCACAUCACUUGUUUGACAAAAUUACAAAGCAAAUGUGUAACUCGUGUACUCUUCCUUUUUUAUCAUAAUUUUUGUACUAUAAAUAUGUACCUGCAAAUAGUGAAAUAUACACACAAAAUCAAUAAUUUCAUGAAUUAUUCUUCUUCUAAUUUUUACAACCUUUCAUGGGUGGAAAGACUUUCCUGCCUUUCAAGGCCUUGCCAGCUGCUGAAGCCGAAGGGAAGAAAUCCAAGGCUUUUUUUAGUUCAUCUAUUAAAUCCCCAGAAACCAGUUGCAGAACUAGUGGGAAAUCAAAUAUUUUUUAGUGGAAACAAAUACGAAACUAGUCCUCAAAUUAUUGUGUAAUGCAUUUUGCAAGAAAUUUGAUAGCCUGAUUAUGUUAUCCACAUCUUGAACUUUUCAAGUUAUGACGUGUCGGGAUUUGUUGCUAAACCAUACAAUUAUGAAAUUUUGCAACUCAAUCUUGUAUUGUUGUAUUUCCUUGCUUUCAGUUUUCUUGAUCAGAACAAACAACAUAAAUAAUGAUGCUAUAUUAAAAAAAUUAAAAGAAUUUCACUCGCCCUUCAUUUGUUAUCAACAAUAUGAUAUUGCCUGGGAUCUUUCGGCUUAAUCUUCCAGUGCCCAUUAGCCAAACUUGCAUUCUCAGCGAUUCUUCUCCAUUUCUUAAUCCUUUUAUCCAUAUGCUUUGUUAAUGCACAGUACUGUUGCAAUUUCUUAGGCAUCGCGUCAUAAACUUGCCACCAUUUCUUAUGAGCUGAAUCACUGGCAAAUACAUGGAGACUCACCAUGUCCCAAUUGCAAUCAUAGUCCUUGUAACACAUCCAUGGCUUUAACCCCAGAUAAUGAAUUGCAUAAAGGCCAUCACCCACUUGAUGUUCCUUAUCGUCUUGCUUUGAAAACACCUUCAAAUUGUUGAUUCUCUUAGGCAACCUAUGCCACCAUGUGAACACUUUAUUAAGAAAUCCCUGGUCACCCCCAUUGUAUGACGAAACCUUAAAGCUUUUGAGCAUCAUAUCUUCAAACUUGCACAAUGAUGGCUCAAUCACCAUCACCCCAGAAUUGAACAACACUUUGUCAUUACCUGCUGCUGAUAAUUCAGGGUAAAAGAAGAACUCAUCGGUGUUUUUGAGUAUUAAAAGAUCAGAAUCAAUGAAGAUAACUUUAUCAUAUUCAAUGAGUUGCCAUACUCUAAGCUUGCUAUAAUUCCACUCAUUGUACGAAUCUUUCUUGGCAAAGGGGCUACGUAUGCGCGAAAUCCACUUGGUUUUCCAUCCGGCAGCUCUCAGGCCACGGAGAGACUUGCCACUUAUUGAUUUAUCAUGAAGGAGAACGAGAUCUCUAGUCGAGUUUUUUUGGAUUAUGCUUUGCGCUAAAGCUAUUGCACCACAUACAUAAGCUUCUGAUGAAUGUAGAACUGUUACAUAAGCUUCUCUUUGAUGGUACGUUGUGUAGUUCAGUUUUGCUAGUCUUGCUUGUGACAUAAAAUAUCUCCAUAUUUCUUUGCCUGUAAAUCAAAAUAAAAGCACUCAAAUAUUAAUUUUAGGUUAAUUUUGCAAAAUUAAGAAAAAUGAAUUACGUAUGAAGGUUUGAAGAAGUCGUGGUGUCCGGAUUAGGUAAUACUUUCACGGAAAUUGAAAGUGCAAUUGUCUAAUGCCACAUAAGUCUUAAUUAGGAAAUUGAUUUAUGUUGGCUGAGUUACCAAAUUUUCACACAAUCAGAAUCAUGACUGCUGACUGUAUACAUUCUGUGUCCGUAGAUUAUUACAACUCUUUAAGGAUAUCAAAAUUGAAGAACCCGUCAAAUUUAAACCAAUUACACAUGUGCACGAGUUGUGCAUAUUUAAUUUGGAUGUCUCAUUUAUUAAUGCUGAACGAAUAAUUUACUAAAAUUUGAAACUAAAGAAAGCAGUAAAUUAAUGACCCACCAUGACCAAAUAAAUCACGCACUAACCUUUUCUUUUUUUCUUUUUUUUUUUCCUGAGAACACCUCAAAUUUCCGAAGAAAAAUUAAAUAAAAUCUCCUGCAUCCAUCUCUUGUGAACAUUUUAUAUUUUUUUAUAUGCAACAAGCUUUCAUUAAAAUUUAAGAUUCUAUCUCUAGAAUAAACUCCAAAACAUAUCGAUUAAAAUAACAAUAAGAGCUUAAAUACUACUUCGUAAAUAAUCAAGAAAUAUGACAAGCAACAAGAACAACAACUACCAAUUCAUAAAGAUUUUUACGAAAUUUUAAGUCAAAUUUUAAUGCAUAAUAACAUUGUAAAAUUCUUGGAACUGAGUACAAACAGUAAGUUAGCAUUUGGUUAGAAAAUUGUACAGAUUUUCUUCUUCAAGUGAUAUGACCAAAUUUUCUUCAGUUUCCAAACUACUCGCCAAACAAACAAAAUGUUUUCGAGAAACCAGGGAAAAAAAAAAAAGAAGCAAAACUCACCAGUUUGAGCAAAAGUAGGAGCAAUUUGGCAUGACCCAACAGGCAUCAAUACUUUAUGUUUCAAUCUCCUCAAGUCAGGUUUAUAAACCCAAUAAUCCCCUGCAUGCUCCACAAGAUCAUCGCACCUGAACAUCUCCACCAUGGCCCCACAAGAACCCACAAAGACAACGUACACCGCCCGAUCAACAUCAGGUUUCAACCACCCACUCUCCACCGCUAGAUUCGCCACCACGAGAUUCACUUGCAACCUAAACACAUCCCUCAUCCCACCACCUCCUUCUCCGUCCCCUCCGCAGGGAAUCCUAGCCACUAUCACGUCGAGGUACCGGUAAUCCUGCGCCGGCAUGGGUAUAUCCGGGCACGCCGGUGGGGCCCACUUGUGAUCUUCAUCAAUCCACUCCGGGAAAAAGUCUUCCCAUUUUUUAUCCUCACCCACAUGGUCGAAACGUACGUGAACAGUUUCAACAUGCAUGUCACCACGUACGCUAUUAUAAUCAUCAUCGUCGUCGUCGUUUAUAUUUACUAAACCAACUUUAAUUUUGUGACCGUUGAUAUGUUUUUCGACAAUAUCGAGCCAUUUGGGUCUGUGUAAUAAGUGGUUAGUAUUAUAUUUAUUAUUUGGCUCGUAAGCGAAAUGGGGUUGUUGUUUAGGUUUGAACGACAAAACGACAAGGAAAAGCGAGAAGGAGAGGAGAAGAAGAGAGAUUAUGAAGAGCUUUUGACUGAAAUUUGUGGGUUUGUUAGAAGAAGAUGGUGAUGAAGCUGCAGCCAUUUGAUUGAAUUUUGCUUCACGUCUUUGUUGAAAGUUGAAAGAUUUGUUUUGAGUCGACGUUUUGUUUUAAGUUAUAUCCAACGCAUCGAAUUGGAAUGAAAAGAAUCAAAGAUUGCAUUGCAGCAUGUUGAGCUUUGUCAAAUUGUCUUCUUAUGUGUAGGUAUUUUAUUUUCACACGCAUUUGAUGCGCGUGGGUAGGUUUACUAAAUGUAUUUCUUUUAUUAUUAUUAUUAUUAAGAUUAAAAUAUACUUCUAAGUUGUCAAAUUAGGCUUCUGAUAUCCUAUAUAACAAGGCAACAAACAUAAUAAACUUGUUACUUGUUAGAGUGCAAUUUAUGCACUAGUUUUGCAUUGUUUACUUCCCUUAAUAUCGAUGUUUUGCACUUAAUAAUAAUGUUUUACUUGUGUUUUACUUUUGUAGGUGCAAUUCUAUUGAUUGAUGAUAAAGUUGAGCUAAAAGAUGAUGUUUAAGGAGGAUUGUUCUCUUGGAGAAAUUAUGAGCGUCAGAAGAACUUUGUUGAUAAGGCGUGGACACGUGCUGUCAACUGCGGACCUGCAGUUUUUAGUUUAACGUGUUUUGUAUUUUUGGUUAUUUUUGUAAUUACGAAUUUAAUAUUUCAGAUAUUAGUAUUUUAUUUUAAAUAGAAUUCUAAAAGAGAAGAGAGAGAGAGUAUUUAAGGGAGGAAUCUAUUGUGAAAAAGGGGGAUUUGGAUUGGAGAAAAAGAAAGAAACCCUAGAUCUAAAUUUUUCUCUUCUCUCUAUGAAGAACUAAACCUAUUUUUCUGGUUGAAGGAUAAUGAAGCUUUGAUUCAUCACUACUGUGAGAUCUUUCUUAUGCUUUAAUUGUUUUAUUGCUUUUUGGGUAUUUGUUUAUUCUCUGAAUUAUUUUCAUGAUUAUGUUUGUUAAUUAGGUAAUUGGCCACUAUUUAAUUAUCAACUUAAUCUAUUGUCAAUUAAAGGAUUCAUCAUAUGAAGAAUUUAAUGUUUGUGACAAAUAACAUAGCAGAGAGUUGUGUUGUGAGAAUAAACAAUCUAAUUUAAAUGAAUCAUCAUAUGUGUUGAUUAGGAUUUGGGUCUCUCUGGUUUUUUAGGCUGUCAAUUGAUUAAAUCCUAUGAUCGUAUCUAGGGUUGUCUAUUGAUUAGGGAAAUAAUCAACGGUCGUACCUUGGUUAUCGACUAGUUAAGGAGAGAUUGGCUAUUAGAGGGUCUCAAUAGCUAUAACCGGUCUAUUCAUAAGUAAUAAUAAUCUAUAUUUGAAUUAAUGAUCAGUAGUCGAAUCAAGCUGAGUUAAUUCCUUCAACCAGAGCUUUCUCCAAUUUGAAUUACAACUUUAAUUUGCAUUCUUGUUAUUUUUAAUUUGAUUUUUAUUAUUGUCAACAAUUCCCCCAUUUUACGUUUUACGUUUCAAAAGGAUUUAAAUAAUUACCGAUCUCUGUGGACACGACCCUGCUCAAUCACUAUAUACAAUUUAUUUAGAGUAGGAAUUUAUUUUUGUUGGCUUCGACAAACAUCAAAUUUUGGCGCCGCUGCCGGGGAUUGGUGUCAUUUAUUUAAUCAUUUUUACGUUUUACUUGGUGUAUGGUUCGUUCUUCUCGUACAGGUACACUUUCAUUUGAUCCUGAAAUUGAGAAGAUAGCUCGCCAGCUGAGACAGCAGACGAAGCGAGCUAAGCAACGAUCAUCGUCGUCUUUGCUUUCUGAAAUAGAUACAGUACCUGAUUUAGUUGAAUCAUCUAGCGAUUCAGAAGAACAAGUGAUGGAUAGACCUGCACCUGUAGAAAGAACUCUUAGAGAGUUAGCUAAACCAGACUUGAAUCAACAACCACUCUGCAUUCAAUAUGUAGAUUUGGAGGUAAAUUUUGAAUUAAAGUCUGGUCUUAUUCAUUUAUUACCCAAGUUUCAUGGUUUUGCAGGUGAAGAUCCUCAUAAACAUCUUAAGGAGUUUCAUGUUGUGUGCUCAAGUAUGAGGCCACAAGGCGUGACUGAAGAGCAGAUUAAGCUGCGUGCUUUUCCGUUCUCUGUAGAUGGGCUAGCUAAAGAUUGGUUAUACUACUUGCCUCUUGGAUCGAUUACAACGUGGAAUGGUUUGAAGAAGCAGUUCCUUGAGAAGUACUUUCUCAACUUCCUGGGGAGACUUUGUAUGAGUAUUGGGAGCGAUUCAAACAAUUGUGUGCCAGCUGUCCUCAGCAUCAGAUUUCUGAUCAACUUCUUAUUCAAUUUUUUUACGAAGGACUGUCAUUGAUGGAUAGGAGUAUGAUAGAUGCUGCUAGUGGAGGCGUGUUGGUGAACAAGACCCCUACUCAAGCAAGGGAGUUGAUAUCAAAUAUGGCUGCCAACGCACAACAAUUUGGCAGCAGGCAAGAUCUCACUUCAAGGAAGGUGAAUGAGGUAAAUAUUUCUUCUGUUGAACAACGUUUAGAUAAACUUACUUCUCUUGUGGAAAAGUUUGUUGUAGGUAAUGUGCAACAGGUGAAGACUUGUGGCAUUUGUUACAAUAUGGGUCAUUCAACUGAUAUGUGUCCUACACUACAAGAAGAACCCGUUCAACAAGCCAAUGCAGUUGGAGGAUUUCCAGGCAUGCCUCAGAGGAGGUAUGAUCCUUAUGCACAAACAUACAAUCCGGGAUGGAAGGAUCAUCCCAACUUCAGCUAUGGAGUUAGGCAAUCAAGAUUCUCACAACAAUAUCCACCAAGACAACCAGCACCUCCACAGUCAAACUCCAAGUCAGGUAUAUCUCUUGAAGAAAUUGUUAAAUCACUUGCGACUAACACUCAACAAUUUCAGCAGGCAACUACAGCAAGCAUUCAGAACUUGGAGAACCAAAUGAGUCAAUUGGCAACUACAGUGAGCCGUCUGGAGUCUCAAGUAUUAGGGAGAUUGCCUUCACAAUCUGAGGUGAAUCCAAAGCAAAACGUUAGUGCUAUCAUCCUUAGAAGUGGGAAGGAGUUGCAAGAGCCUAGUAAGAAAGUGACAGAGCAUGUAGAAGAUGAGCUUGAGAAGAAUGAAUUGAUGCCUCAAUCUCAAGAUGAACAACCCACCAAAGCGAAACCCCUACCUAUUGUGAUACCUCCUCCUUUUCCAAGCCGGUUUGCAAAAUCCAAGAAGGAGGAACAAGAUAAAGACGUCCUUGAGACUUUUCGCAAAGUUGAGGUAAAUAUUCCUUUAUUAGAUGCUAUAAAACAAAUACCUCGAUAUGCUAAAGUCCUUAAGGAACUGUGCACCUCUAAGAGAAAAUUAAGAGGAGAUGAAAAAGUUCACAUGGGGGAGAAUGUUUCAGCAGUUCUCCAAAAGAAACUACCUCCUAAGUGCAAGGAUCCAGGUAUGUUUACUAUCCCUUGUAAAAUUGGUAGUGUUAGAAUUGAAAAGGCUUUGUUAGAUCUAGGAGCUUCUAUUAAUGUCAUGCCUCGUUCCAUUUAUUCAUCUUUGAAUAUUGGUCCAUUAAAAGAAACUGGCGUGAUAAUUCAACUAGCUGAUAGGUCUAAUGCAUACCCUGAUGGGGUAUUAGAAGAUGUCUUAGUACAAGUUAAUGAGUUGGUUUUUCCUGCUGAUUUUUAUGUACUUGAUAUGGAAGAGGAUAACUCCUCUAAUUUUGUCCCAAUUUUGCUAGGAAGACCUUUUCUUAAGACUGCUAGGACUAAAAUGGAUGUACAUAAAGGGACUCUCACUAUGGAGUUUGAUGGAGAGGUUAUAGAAUUCAAUAUGAAUGAUGCCAUGAAAUAUCCGAGUGAGGAACAUUCGGUAUUUUCUGUGGAUGUUAUUAACUCUAUAGUACAGGAAGUUUUUUACAAGGAAAAAACGAAGACAUUUCAUGAUAGAAUGAUUUUAAGAAAAGAGUUAUCUAUUGGUCAAAAAGUUCUUCUUUUUCAUUCUAAGCUUAAACUUUUUCCGGGUAAAUUACGUUCUUGCUGGGUUGGACCUUUUAUUGUUACUAAUAUUUUUCCUCAUGGUGCAGUUGAGAUUCGGAGUCCGACUUCUGACAAAGUUUUUAAGGUUAAUGGUCAUCGCUUAAAAACUUUUUAUGAAGGUUUUUCGGUGAAUAUUGUAGAGGAUGUGGCUCUCGAGAGUCCCAAUUAUGGAGAUUGAUGCAUAAAUGUGUCUAGCCAAAGACAUAAAACAAAGGCGCUUUUUGGGAGGCAACCCAAAUGAUUUAUUUAUUUUGGUUUUUGUUAUAUCUUCUUUUAAUUUUGAUUCAUAUUUUUUUUAAAUAAUGUGUUUGCUUAUUUUGGUCAGAAGAAAAUUUUUGAUAAGGCGUGCCCACGUCUUAACUAAUAAGUACUUCUGUGAUUUUUAAAGUAAAAUGGUUUUAAGGCGUGCCCACGUGCUUAUUAGAAAAGUACUUCUGAAAUUUUUAGUGUUUCAAGUGAUUCAUCACUAAAAAAAAAAAAAAAAAUUGUUUUCUUUCGCAGCAACAGCCGCUCUAGCCUUCACCGAGCAGCCCGUGCGCAACUAUCUCACCAUUUCCGCCAAGCCCAUAGACGUUAUGAGGAUCAAAGCUCACAAUUCAGGGAAGUUUUUGCCUUUAAUCUUUUAUCCUUACGAUUUAAUUUUUAUGUGAGCUUUGAUUAUCUUACAUUGGGGACAAUGUAAGUUCCUGGUGUGGGGGAGGGAUUUUUGCAUUAUUGAUGUCUGGAAUUAUUAUUUUCACUCUGCUCAUCUAUUUUCACUCUACUCAUCCUUAAAUGAUUUUGGAGUUAGUAUGCUUCAUAUAUUAUUAAUUUUCUUUUCCUUUCUCUCUCACUACUCUUUUCCCAUCUAUCUCAAAUUAUUUACAUCUAUUUUUUUUUUCUCUAUCAUACUCUUUCAUCACUCACAUUUUAUCUUUCAUUUUUUUUAAUACAUACAUCUUUCUCGCUUAUUAUCCUUUUUACCUUUCCUUUUAUAUCUCACUCAUACCUUCUUCUCAUUCUACACCACUAUUGAUGGUUGAUUCAUUUGAAGAGUGUACAUGAUUUGAUGGCAAUUUUACCAACUUUGUGAGGAUUUGAGCCUAUGAGCAACCACUUUGCUCUAAUUAUUUUUGUUAUGUGAAUAUCAUUCCUAGUUUGUUUAUUCUAGAACUUGCUUUGUUAUGCAUGUUGAAGCCACAUUACGGGAUUUUAUGCAUUAAAAUGAUAAGGGCAAACCAUUUACCAUUUUUCUAUUCUCGCAUUUUCCUUUUUCUCUACCUGAAGACCUUUAUUUGCUACCUUUGUUUGAGCCUUACCCAUUACCCAUCUAAUUCUCUCCGUCUACUUAACCAUUUUUCUUCUUUUUGAGCCUCAAUUUAAGGAGAUUUUUGGACUCAUUGUGUGGAUAUAUUUUGUUGCUUUUUCUACCUUGUAUUAAAGUUUCUCAAUUAGAUCAACAAGCAUUAUGCUUGAAUUAAAUUGUGCAAGGUUCGUUUCUUUUGUUUGAUUCAAAAAAAAAAAACAAAAAACAAAAAAAAACAAAAAAAAAGGAAAAAGAAAAAAAAGAGAAAAAAGAAAAAUCGAAAAAAAAAAAGUUUACAUUCUUGGUGACUUGAGUAGAAAUAAGCAUUUUGAUAUCAUAAGUUCAUUCAAUGAGUUCAUUCUUCUCGUUUUGAUCUCUUUUUCUUUCGUAAACCUUUCUUUUUCAUUUAACCCCAUUACAAACCUUUUAAGACCCUUAUAUUUUUGCAUUUUAUUCAUGUUUUGUGGAUUGAGAUGUGAUAUAUGAGCAAGCUUAUGGUAAUAGCAUUCUUUGAUUUGAUUUGAGUGCAUAAAUGAUACCCUAAACACUUUGAGUGCAUGGAGUGAAGUUAUUGAGAGGGCUAUUAAAUCUUGUUGCACUUGAAUUUUGAAUGGAUCUUCUUGGUGGUUGAAUGUUCUUAUUCUAUCUUAUGAAAUUCUAUGCUUUAAAAUCCUUGUCUCUUGAAUGUUGAUCGACUUAAUUUCUUGAGGUAUGCUUGCUUAAAAUUGUUUUUGGAUGAGUUGAGAUGAGAAUUGAGUGGAGAUUUGAGAUUAAUCUUGAGUUAUAUGCUUGAGGACAAGCAUCAUCUUGGUGUGGGGGAAUUUGUUAGAGUGCAAUUUAUGCACUAGUUUUGCAUUGUUUACUUCCCUUAAUAUCGAUGUUUUGCAUUUAAUAAUAGUGAUUUACUUGUGUUUUACUUUUGUAGGUGCAAUUCUAUUGAUUGGUGAUAAAAUUGAGCUAUAAGAUGAUGUUUAAGGAUGAUUGUUCUUUUGGAGAAAUUAUGAGCGGCAGAAGAACUUUGUCGAUAAGGCGUGGGCGCGUGCUGUCAACUGCGGACCUGCAGUUUUUAGUUUAACGUGUUUUGUAUUUUUGGCUAUUUUUUUAAUUACAAAUUUAAUAUUUCAAAUAUUAGUAUUUUAUUUUAAAUAGAACUCUAAAAGAGAAGAGAGAGAGAGUAUUUAAGGGAGGAAUCUAUUGUGAAAAAGGGGGAUUUGGAGAUUGGAGAAAAGAAAGAAACCCUAGAUCUAAUUUUUCUCUUCUCUCUAUGAGGAACUAAACCUAUUUUUCUGGUUGAAGGAUAACGAAGCUUUGAUUCAUCACUACUGUGAGAUCUUUCUUAUGCUUUAAUUGUUUUAUUACUUUUUGGGUAUUUGUUUAUUCUCUGAAUUAGUUUCAUGAUUAUGUUUGUUAAUUAGGUAAUUGGCCACUAUUUAAUUAUCAACUUAAUCUAUUGUCAAUUAAAGGAUUCAUCGUAUGAAGAAUUUAAUGUUUGUGCCAAAUAACAUAGCAGAGAGUUGUGUUGUGAGAAUAAACAAUCUAAUUUAAAUGAAUCAUCAUAUGUGUUGAUUAAGAUUUGGGUCUCUCUGGUUUUUCAGGCUGUCAAUUGAUUAAAUCCUAUGAUCGUAUCUAGGGUUGUCUAUUUGAUUAGGGAAAUAUCCAACGGUCGUACCUUGGUUAUCGACUAGUUAAGGAGAGAUUGGCUAUUAGAGGGUCUCAAUAGCUAUAACCGGUCUAUUCAUAAGUAAUAAUAAUCUAUAUUUGAAUCAACGAUCAGUAGUCGAAUCAAGCUGAGUUAAUUCCUUCAACCAGAGCUUUCUCAAAUUUGAAUCACAACUUUAAUUUACAUUCUCGUUAUUUUAAUUUGAUUUUUAUUAUUGUCAACAAUUCCCCCAUUUUACGUUUUACGUUUCAAAAGGAUUUAAAUAAUUACCGAUCUCUGUGGACACGACCCUACUCAAUCACUAUACACAAUUUAUUUAGAGUAGGAAUUUAUUUUUGUUGGCUUCGACACCCAUCACAACUAUCUAAGACUUAUAAAUUCUUAAAAACUCUUUCUCUUUGUAUAUGGUAAGGUAAGAAAUUUGAGAUCCAUCUUUAGUUCGAAAAAAAAUUAUGUCCAAACUCAAAGUCUUUCCUUAGUGAAGCAAAGAAAUUCGUACCAACAAUAUGAUCAUAUAAGCAAAUUAUUCGUGACCAACAAUAAGAAAAUUAUGUAUCAUACAUAAGUCAAUAAUGAGAUUUUUUAAAAAAGUUAAUUAUAGUAUAAUUGAAUGGUAACUUAAUUUUCUCCUACCCAUGUGAGCUAAGUGGUACAUAAGAAUGAGAGUUUUUUGAAUAAUAACAAAAAGUGUAAUAAAAUAUACUUAUCUAAACUAAACGCUGCAUAAAAAUUUCCUUUUAUAUACUACUCUCUCUCCCCCCCCCCCCCCCCCAACAAUCUAGGUAUUUUUUUAAAGUUCAUUUUUUAAAAGAUUGGAGAGUGGAUUAAAUCUAAAUCGAUUUUUUUUAGCCUUUACCUCCCUUAAAAUUCAAAAUCUAUUAGCUAGUUAAAUAAAAGUACUUGAAAAUUAUUUGACUAAAUCAUUGAGGGCAGAAUUUAGACACUGAUAAAUAGUUAAAAAUUUCAAUUAAAUAUGAUCAUCUAUUGGCAUUCUUAAAGUUCCGUAAUCACAGCCAGUACAAUGGUUCUAUCAAAUGAAAUAUUUCUAUCCAAAAUCAAUUUCUUUUUUAUCAUAUGGAAUUAAUCGAUUUGGAAUUGUGGAUUUUUAAUAGAUAUAAUAAAUACCCCAAGUAUGGGUGCUUUUCCAAUCAGGGAUCCCUGACUUUAAUAAAGUCAGGGAUUAGCUAAAAGAUAAAAAAGUUUAAAUUUUACUACACUACAUGAUAAAAUACAGUUUAUUGAAGUAUGUGUUUAUUUUGUCUUUUAGCUAAUCCCUGACUUUAUUAAAGUCAGGGAUCCCUGAUUAGAAAACUACUCCCCCAAGUAUUUUGAUAAUAUUCUAUAAUUAUCGUUGAGUUAGUGUGUGGCUUCGGGUCACCGUCAUGAACUUGGUCAGUCUAACAAAUAUAACGUAACCCAUGGUAUCAUCAAAAUAUGUGCAACGUUGCUCAGUAGAAACCAAAUCAGAUUAGGGAAAUUAUCUCUGUUGUCUUGGUCAAUCUUUUGUGACUUCAUCAAUAGACAUAACAUGUAGCCACGCCACAAUUUUUAAUUUUAAUUGGAAUGCUUAGAAGUCUAUUAAAAAUUAUAAUGUAACCUAACUAAGAAUAAUAUCAAUUUUUCUAUUUUAAUCUAAUAUUUAAUUAAACUAUUGCCAUUAUUGCACUUAGUCAUGGCUCAUAUGUGGAUCCACUAAUUGUUUCGCACCGUUGAUUGAUUGAGGGACGGUCAAGAUUUGAUUAAAUAUUGGAAUUGGUAUGCGAUCUCAUUAAAGUUGACUUCUAAAAUUGCAUUCUCAAUUAUUCAGAUUUAAAAAACAAGAAUGAUAAUAUGAUAGUUACGUUUUAAUAUUCUACGUUUGAAAUAUUAUGUUUCUUCUCAAAGCUGCAAAUCUCAUUUACAUUACCUGGUCAAAGACUUCUUGACAUAAAUUAUUUAUGCUAUUAAUUCAGUUAGUUAAGGAUAUACUUUAAAUGAUAUGACAUUUAAUCAACCAACGAUACAACAUAUAUCGAUUUAAUAUUAAGAUAUCUAAACAUAAUGAGACGACAAGAUCAAUACUCAACAUACAAUUUAAUUUUAAUACAAUUUCUUUCAUAAAUAUUGAUACAAUAAUAUUGAAUCAAUGUCAUGUCACUUGGCUUACUUUAUUUACUUAUUACUUAACUCUUUUAGUACCUAUACGUCACUCAUUAAACUCGUAUAUAUUUUGUAUGCAUCGAAUUAUUGAGAAUAGAAUUCACAGAGUUCAACUCUUGUGCAUGAACUGAGGAUUUCUCUAUUAAGUUUACUUGGAUAUGAUUAUAUUUUUGUUCUCUAAUUAUCAUUUGUUUUCAUUUUUUUUCUAUUACAUAUGAUUUUCAUUAAAUCACAACUCUAGUUGGCAUUUCACAUCACCCGCAAUUGAUUAGUUGCUUUCUAAUCCAACAAAAUUAAUAUGGAAAGAAAUAAAUGGCAACCGAUAAAUAUUCCAACAUUAUGUAUUACGCUGAAGAUUAAGCCAAUCCCACUACUACAAAACUGAAUUUCUUUGACAGAAUGCUUUUUCACAUGAUCAUGUAUGUGUCAAAGUUUUGUGACAAAUAUAUUAUUUUGCUGAUGUCGCAAACACAAUCCUUUCAAAAUCUUUAGAGGCCUUGAAAUUUUGAUUAUCUAUAAGAGAAUAGUUACAAAAUUCUGUCACUAAUAGUAAGUUAAGUGAUUCUUGAUAGAAUACUAUCAAAACAUUUAUAUAAAAUCUCACAUUUUAAUAUUUUACAAAAAUGUGUUUUAAAUAUUUUCAUUUUUUUGACAUAAUUCUAUCAAUGAACUUUCUUUUUAAAUUUUUAAUUCCACUUAGGCAUUGAAAAUGACAUAGUUUUAAAAGAUUUCAAUGACUUAACUGAUGUGAAUAUAUCUUUAAUAAGUCAACGACAAAAUUCUAUCAAAUAAAAUUCAUCACCUUAUCAGAUAAACAAAGGCCUGCUCAACCAAUAAGAAUUUGCCAUCUAAAGAGUUUAAUGGGUCUUUCAAAAAGCCUGACUUGAGUCUGAGCUUGAGUAUUUCAGGUCUAAUCUAAUAAGCAAGUUUAUAAAUUAUAAAUUUAUGAAAUACAAUGAAAAAGGUUUAAAAAAAAAAGAAAAAUGUUUUAAAAAAUUAAAGUAUAAAUAUGAGGUUUUACAAUUAAAAUAUCAAAUAGUGGCAAAAUGAGCGCCCAAAAAGUGCGGCAAAUUAAAAUUAUUCAAAAUUUAUCUCUUCAAUCCCUUUUUUUUUUUUAUUUUAGAGGGAAAAUUUUUUUAUGUACCACUGAAAUAAAAUUAACCCAAAAACAUUCUGUAAUUGAAAGCUUGGAACGAAUUUCACGCCUCUCGCCUUCUCUUUCACGCAUUUCGCAUUCCAUUUUCGCAUUAACACAUAAAAGGAGACACAAAUGGAAUAAUUAGAGAGAGGGAUGACCGGAUGAGAUUCCAUUUAUUGUUUGGUUAUAAAAUAAUUGAGUGUUUUUUUUUUUUUGUUAACUUAAAAAUACGUAUUUUUUUGUAUUUGAUAUUUAAUAGAAAGUUGAAAGUAAAAUCAAAUCCAUUUGUAAUAUAAGUUCACUUCAUUCAUAAAAUUAAACAUAUAGAAUAAAAUUUAUAAAUGUUACUUAUACAAAUACAUAUUACUAUUCAAAAUAAUAAAAAUUUUGCAUUGGAAACAAUUUUGAAAAAAAAAAUAAAAGUUUUUAAUGGAGAAAGGAAUUGUGGAGGGAAAGUUUGAUAGAAGAUGCACACUAGCUAGUUUUGGAAUUAUACCGUCAGGCGUCAGUCAUUUUAUAAAAAAAAAUGGAAAUAAUUUGAUCAGCCACCCGAGCUUUACUUCAGUGAUGCAUGUAUAUUCUAAGCUUCAUGACAUCAUAUUAAAAACGUAUUGCUAAGGUAAUUUGAAAUUCGUUUUAUCCAAUGAAUGUUACAUUUACUGGUAUGUUUAAUAUUUUGUUUUGGUUAAAAAUUUUGCUAUCUAACAGCUAAUAACUGAAUUUGACUCAUUUUUAUGUAAAUUUUAUAGACCCACCGAUUCACCAUUUUUAUGUUAUAAUCAUUGUAGGCAUGUUAUUUUUAAAUUAUGACUCCAUGUGAAACCAAAAUUUAAAUUUCACCAUCUUUUAUAGAGUUUGGUUAUGAUAAUCAAAUAAUACAAUAAACAAACACAAGGCAAAAAAAUUUACGUGGUUCGACGUAUUAAUUAAUAUGUCUACAUCCAUGGGUGGUGAUACCGAUAAGCCACUAUAUAAUGAAAAAGUGUACAAAUAAUAAUAAGCUCUCAGAUGCACCAAAAAAUUCAACAUUAUGUAUUACAUGCUCUGUCAUACCCUCCGCCCACAACAAACUCUCUCACCCUCCGAAGCCUGAUUAAUUCCCCAAUCCCUGCCGGCAAGUAUCUUAAAGAAUCAGUCCCCUCAUUGUGUAAAUACAUCAGCUUUCUUAACUUCCCAAUCCCUCGAGGUAAUUCUCUAAGAUUUUCACAAUCAUCAACGUUUAAACGUUCUAAAUUAUAUAACUCACACAACGUCUCGGGUAAUUUUUCUAUCUUCUUUUGACCUUUCAAAUUAAGGUAUUUCAAAUGUAACAAUUUUUCUAUAUUUGUUGGAAUUUCCUUGAUGAAAUUCUUACACAACCACGGUUCACAUACCUUUAAUUUUAAUGUCCUUAAACAAGUUAAUUUAUCAAAUAAUUGAGGUAGAACUUCACUAGACCAUGAAUAUUCAUCACUUUUAACUAAGAGGCUACGCAAUCCUCGCAAUCCUGUAACAUUACCCCAAAUGGAGAUCGGAACCGAAGCCCCCCUACGUAGAGUUAACAGUAAAUGGAUUUUUUUCUCCCCGAAAGAGCUAAUAGCUAACUCUUCACCACUAUGAAUUUCUACUGUUAAACAUUCAUUACUACAUAAAUAUUGGGCAAAGUCGUGCACGAUAUCGUGCAUUUUGCAAUUAGAGAUUUCACCAUCAUCACCUUU
RNAcentral lists this long non-coding RNA (51041 nucleotides) under Citrus x clementina. RNAcentral's name for it is "Citrus clementina (C. clementina) long non-coding RNA (CCLE_LNC002973)". The stretch from base 22614 to 22750 matches the Rfam family "Small nucleolar RNA Z247". Lineage: Eukaryota; Viridiplantae; Streptophyta; Magnoliopsida; Sapindales; Rutaceae. The record is from RNAcentral.